Molecule: long non-coding RNA, 60807 nt
Filed under: Medicago truncatula (barrel medic)
Lineage: Eukaryota; Viridiplantae; Streptophyta; Magnoliopsida; Fabales; Fabaceae
Description: long non-coding RNA (MTRU_LNC003453)
Rfam family: MIR2630 microRNA precursor family (bases 44418-44646)
Source: RNAcentral
AAAAUGAAGUAGGAAAUAAAAGAAUGGUCGAAGAGAAAGAUUUAGAGAAGUUAAGUUACUUAGAUAUGGUGGUUCAUGAAACUUUAAGACUUUACCCUGUUGCACCCUUGUUACUCCCUCGUGAAUGUAGAGAGAGUAUAACAAUUGAUGGAUAUUUUAUAAUGGAAAAGACACGAGUUAUAGUAAAUGCAUGGGCUAUAGAGAGAGAUUCUAGUGUUUGGUCAGAAAAUUAUGAAGAAUUUCAUCCAGAAAGAUUUAUUGACAUGAAAAUGAAUUAUGAAGGACAUAAGUUUAAAUCUAUACCAUUUGGUUCUGGUCGUAGACGUUGUCCUGGAAUUGAAAUGGGUUUGAUCACAAUUAAAAUGGUUAUAGCUCAAUUGGUACAUUGCUUUAAUUGGGAACUUCCAUGUAAUAUUAGUCCUUCCAAUUUGAAUAUGGAGGAGAAAUUUAGAUCACUCUAUUCCAAGGGCUCAACACUUGCACGCAAUACCGAGUUAUCACUUGACAUGUGACAACAAGCAUGAUUAGGUUCAAGAAGGAAAAUGCUAUGUUUAAUUUGUAUUCGUCAAAAUAUUAUUAAUUACUAAAUACAUUAACUUUUUUUAAAAUUUAGAUCGAUUAAUAACUUGUCUUUGCGUCUGAUUUGCAGUAGGGAAGAGGGGUAUGUUAUUCAUAUUAUGCAUAGUUGUCCAAUGACAGUUUUGGCUUGGAACCACUUUGUAGAUAAUAAAUGGAAGCUUGUUUCUAAUAGGAAUUUGUUUUACAGAAUUGAGAUGAACUUUUAUAUUGGGUAAGCUUCGGAGUGUGCGGUUAUGGUGCUUAAGGAACCAUUUCCAUAGUAAAAUGGUUUUGACAUAAUUGGGUUGAGAUUUAUACAGGGUGCUGGAAACCAUUAAGUACAUCUAAUAGUUUUUGAGUAUAACUCACAAAAACCAUUUCUAAAUUUAUGCAGGAUCGUAAGGAUUUCUUUAUGCACCAUAACCACGCCAGCUUUAAAGUCAUUUGUUAUUUAUUGUUGAGGUGAAGAGAUAAUUUAGUGCAGUCCUCUUCAUGCUCUACUUGGGAUUUGAAUAAACUAUCAAUUAAUUCUUAAUUAUGACUCCAUCUUCAACUUAGUCUUUUUUUUUUCUUUUUUUUUUGAGAGAGUCUUCAACUUGUUCUUAAACUAUAUAAAUUUAGUCUUUAACAUAUACUCAUUUCUGUCCUUAUUAUAAAAAGAAAAACACUUGAUCAAAAAAAUAAAAAUAAAAAGAAAAACAAAAAAAAUAUCAAAACCAAUGCAAUCAUUAUUUAAUGUAACUUUUUUGAUAUUUUUACAAAUAUACUCUAAUAAAAAAUUAUAAAACAUUAAAUACACUCAUUAAUAUUAAAAAUAUAAACAUUAAAUAAAGGAGUAUUAAAACUUUUUAAACAAUAAAUACACCUUAAAAUUUGCCAAAAAAAACUACAUUUUAAAAGUUGUGACGUUUUCUUAUAAAUAUAACCAUUUAAAAAAAAAUUAUAAUAAGAAUAAGAGGGAGUAUAAAAUAUAUGUCAGUUUAGUCUUUACUCGUAGAAUUUUCAUUUACUUUAAGUAUUGUUAUGAAAUUAAUCUAAAGUAUGGCAAGAUAUUGUGCAACAUCGAAGAGUAGAGAGAAAAUGAUACAGGGAGAACAAAAGAGUAUAUUGUAUUGCUUUUCAAGUGUGUUUUCACACUAAAAUACGAGUAUUAUUUAUAGGAUACAAUCUGAGCAAGUGAAUGAUCAAAGUAAUUAAGGACCAGUAACCAUCCCUUCACUUAUAGGACUUAUAGGAAUGUGGAAGAUUAAGGAUGGACAUCCACUAAGUUAAUUAUUCAUAACACUCCCCCUUGGAUGUCUAUCAUGAUAUGCAUCGUUAAAACCUCACUAAACAAAACCCCGUUGAAAAAAAAUUCUAGCAAAAGUUCUUAAAUUCACUUGAUAGUGAAAUAUGAAACUCCCUGAAGGAUUUCAUAUGAAAGAUGUGUUACAAUUUAUAUAUAUGGCUCACUUGAUAGUGAAAUAUGAAACUCCCUAUAAGAUUUCAUAUUUCACUAUGAAAAAGUUCUUGAAUUCACUUCUGGUGAAUAUAUCUGUAAAGAAUAUAUGUCUUUUAAAAAUAAAUGGUAGACAUUUACCCAUUCCUUCUUUGAACUUUCAAGAUAUCAUUGGUAUAUUAUUACCUAAAGUAAUAUUAAAAACACUCUCUUUUGAACACUCUCUAAUACUUAGAUUUAAAUCAUUGUGGGUGGGACAUCCCAACAAAGUGGUGGGAUAUCCCGUCAUCCAUCUCAACCAUCCCUCAUACCAUGCAGUCAUGGGCAUCCAGUCAUCCACUUAUACAAAAUGGUGGGACAUCCAGUCAUCCACAAACACACCACUCGUUUAGAGAUGAUACCGGUUCUUAUAGCCCUCACUCCUCACUCUUGGUACUUGAAUUGUAGACAUGUCUUCAGCAACAAUAAUAACUACAUUACUUUAUUUCCUUCUCUUCACUUUCACAUGCUUUUUAUUCAAACACUUCUUACAUCCAAAACAAAAAAACAUAAACCAUAAAAAGCCACCAGGUCCACCAACACUACCAAUAAUUGGAAACCUUCACCUAUUAGGUAAACUUCCACAUAGAACACUUCAAUCACUCUCCAAAAAAUAUGGUCCAAUCAUGUCCUUACAACUUGGUCAAGUUCCAACAAUUAUAAUUUCUUCUUCAAAAGCUGCAGAAUCAUUCCUCAAAACUCACGACAUCAAAUUUGCAAGCCGGCCAAAGAUUCAAGGAACUGAACUCAUAACAUAUUGAUGUGAUCCUAAAAAUUAUCUCUCUUGACAAGAAUAAUAAAGUCAUUGUGGAAUAAAAGAACCAAAUUAAUUUUGGGUUCAAAGUUUUAUUUUCGUAGGUCAUGAUAUGUCUGUCUUGUUUUGGCUAUAUCUGGAGCUCUGGAUGUCCGUUUGAGGUGAUCUUUAACUCGUUGGAAAGCUUACGAAAUUCUCUACAUUUCAUCUAUUUGAUUCAAGAUCAAAUUCGGAAUAUUUAAUGGUGUAAAAUGAGUUGUAAGUUGAAAACGUGGUUAAAGUGUGUAAGCUGAAGAAUUAAAGGUGUUUGUGGAAUUGUAACGUCUAGAAAUAAUUAGCCUUCACAAAUCAAUGUGCAAAUGAAUAUGUAACCUCCUCAUGCAUUGAUUAGCCACCAGCUUAGAGAGUCAUUUUGUAACAUUUUAUUUGCAUUAAUCAGCCACCAAAACAUUAUUGUAAUUAGUGGUUGCAUUUCCUUUCAUUUUCUAAGAGUUUUAGAGUCAAAAUCAUCAUGUAAUAAGCUCAUAUAAAUAGAGCACGAAAAUGAUAUGAAAAAGAAGUUGAAUAUUAUAGAAUUUUACACAUAUGUGUAUUGAGAGCUUUGUCUCUUGUGGUUCUGGAUUGAACCAACCUUGAUCUUAUCAAGAAAUCAUAUUUCUUGUGGCGAUCCUCGCAUCCAUAGACUUAUCACUUUCUUGGAUUAGAAAGUGUGGCGUCCCUGUCUAUCCAUUACAUUUCUUCAUUUUUUAGUCUUUUCAUCAUUUCCACCAACAAUAUUCAUAAUUCACUUCCGACGGCUCCGUGACAUUCAUCAUUUGGUAAUCAGAGCUUAGGUUCAAAUCAGGUGUUUUCUAUCCUUUUAAUUUAUUUGAUUUUUGUUGUUCUACAUCAAAGUUUGAAAAAAAAAAAUGUCUCAAGAAAUCCAAGCUUCAAUAGAAUAUUUUGAUAAAGUAUGGAGAGAGAAAAUGCUUGAGGAUAUCAAGAGGAGAUCAAGUCAUUCUUCUCCUCUUAAAGAGUUACAAAGAAAUAGGAGAGAGAAAAUGAUGGCAAUAAUUGAUAGAGGAAUGGCUGAUAUCUCUAAAAUACUAGAGGAAAAUCUCUUUCAAAUCCAAAAUCAUUAUAUAGAGCCUAAAAUAGAUAUUGAAGAAAAAGAGAGUCUCAUUGUAAAGGAAACUCACGAAGAAGAAUGUGAAAAGGAAAGAGAAGAGACAAAAGAAAGUGACGAAAAACAAGUAGAGGAAAAAGGAGAAGAAAAGGAGAAUGAGAAGGAAAAGGAAGAGAAAAAUGUUAGGAAGUUUUGGCCUACUAUUACAUUAGUACCUUCUUCUAAGUUGGUUUGUGUUUUUAAAUGUUGGGAUUCUUCUUCUAAUAUUAUUCAAUUGCCUAACAUUUCUUUAUGUCAUGAAGGAAACAAAGAGAAUGAAGAAACUUUUUCUCAACAAGUGGAAGAAAAUUAUGAGAUUUGGAACGAUGAUCAUGUCCAUAAAUCAAAAGUGGAUGAAAAGAAAACUAAUUCUUCCAAUAAAAGUGAAGAGCUCUCUAAAGUUAAAGUUACAUGUGAUGGAUUCCAUAGAUUUAUUUUUGACCCAGGAGGUAUUCAAGCUAUAAAUUCGAGGUCGAAUUCUCUUGAAGAGGGAGAGUAUGAUGUGAUCCUAAAAAUUAUCUCUCUUGACAAGAAUAAUAAAGUCAUUGUGGAAUAAAAGAACCAAAUUAAUUUUGGGUUCAAAGUUUUAUUUUCGUAGGUCAUGAUAUGUCUGUCUUGUUUUGGCUAUAUCUGGAGCUCUGGAUGUCCGUUUGAGGUGAUCUUUAACUCGUUGGAAAGCUUACGAAAUUCUCUACAUUUCAUCUAUUUGAUUCAAGAUCAAAUUCGGAAUAUUUAAUGGUGUAAAAUGAGUUGUAAGUUGAAAACGUGGUUAAAGUGUGUAAGCUGAAGAAUUAAAGGUGUUUGUGGAAUUGUAACGUCUAGAAAUAAUUAGCCUUCACAAAUCAAUGUGCAAAUGAAUAUGUAACCUCCUCAUGCAUUGAUUAGCCACCAGCUUAGAGAGUCAUUUUGUAACAUUUUAUUUGCAUUAAUCAGCCACCAAAACAUUAUUGUAAUUAGUGGUUGCAUUUCCUUUCAUUUUCUAAGAGUUUUAGAGUCAAAAUCAUCAUGUAAUAAGCUCAUAUAAAUAGAGCACGAAAAUGAUAUGAAAAAGAAGUUGAAUAUUAUAGAAUUUUACACAUAUGUGUAUUGAGAGCUUUGUCUCUUGUGGUUCUGGAUUGAACCAACCUUGAUCUUAUCAAGAAAUCAUAUUUCUUGUGGUGAUCCUCGCAUCCAUAGACUUAUCACUUUCUUGGAUUAGAAAGUGUGGCGUCCCUGUCUAUCCAUUACAUUUCUUCAUUUUUUAGUCUUUUCAUCAUUUCCACCAACAAUAUUCAUAAUUCACUUCCGACGGCUCCGUGACAUUCAUCACAUAUGGUUCCAAAGGGUUGGCUUUUUCUAAGUAUGGUCCUUAUUGGCGUAGUGUGAGGAAACUUUGCACUUUAAAACUUCUUAGUGCUUCAAAAGUUGAGAUGUUUGGUUCUAUUAGGAAGGAAAAGUUGGAUGUUUUGAUUAAGUCAUUGGAGAAAGCUGCUUUGGUGAGUGAGGUUGUGAAUGUUAGUGAGGUUGUAGAGAAUCUUAUUGAGGAUAUUGUGUAUAAGAUGAUAUUGGGUCGGAGCAAGUAUGAUCAAUUUGACUUAAAGAGGGUGGUUCAAGACGUAUUGGCUUUGGUUGGAGCUUUUAAUCUGGCUGAUUAUGUUCCUUGGCUAGGUGUAUUUGAUCUUCAGGUAAUUUUUUCAAGUAUAAAAUCAAAAAUAAAGGAUUAAAUAUCGAAUGUGCAAUUUUAGUCAUGAUCUUUUUAAUUGUACGACUUUGUUCUGUAAAUAUUGUUGUGAGAUAUUAGUCUCCACUUUUAAUCCUAAGCAUCAUCAAACAUCAUGGUUGUUUGUAAUUGAAAAGAGAAUGGUAAAUUGCAUGACACUAGCCAUCAUGAAUAAUUAUGAUGUACGAAUCAAGGGUACUUCUGGUUGGUGUUAGAGGGAGAGGGGGUCUUUAGAGGCCAUGGUCUGGUCCCUCCUAUAUUUUUAAUAAUUUUUUUAUUUAUAUACUAUAAUUAAACUAUAUUAUAAUAUUUCAUAAAAUAUAUUAGGCUAUAGUCCCCUCAAUUGAUUUAAUUAAAACGUUCACCAUAUUAUUAGAUUUAUUGACAACUAGUAUUAUUAGUUUGAUAUGUUAUAUUUUAUUUUAAAUUAUCUCACAUUGUCCUUUCCUCAACAUAUUUUAAAUGGAAUAAAACACAAUGAUAUAGCGUUGCAAAAUAAAAGGUGAUUACAAUUAUUACCUUUUUUGAUAGUAAAUGGAUGGAUAAAUAAAUGUUAAAGACGAGUUAAUGUUAUGCUUAUAUGCAUUUGUAUAUAUUUUGACUAUAAAUUUAGAUCUUUACGAAUAAUAUUAAUAUUUUAUUUAAUUAUAAUAAAUAAAUUAAUAUAUGUGUAGUGGUGUCAAUGUCCUAAGUUAUUUACAUUAAUAGUGUUGACGUGUCAGGUGUUCGAGUCAAAGUCCAUGCUUCAUAGAUUAAGUGGUUUGAGUUAUGUAGGUUUUGAUUUUGUAACAUCAAGAAACUUGAUUUAAAUUUGACUAAGAGUUGUAAAAUGAAUAUUAGUGUCACCGUUAUUGAUAAUAAUUUUUUUAAAUGAUAAAUAACAUUUAAAUCAAAAAUAAAAAUCAUAUUUUAAUUUUGUGUGUUUUCAAUUUUUGUAUGCUCAUAUGGUUCUGUUAAAUUAGGUGAAAAUAUUAAAUUAGCAAUUGACAUUAUUAAUUUAACACUUUGUAUAGGGAUUAACACGAGCAUGCAAGGAAACGGGUAAAGCAAUUGAUGAGGUGUUGGAAGUUAUUUUAACAGAGCAUGAACAAACCACUAAUGUAGACAAAAAUCGCCAUGAAGACUUUGUUGACAUACUUCUUACAUUUAUGCACCAAACCAUUGAUCUAGAAAAUGAAGAAAAUCAUUUCAUUGAUCGAACUAACAUCAAGGCAAUUUUACUAGACUUGACUGUGGCAGCAAUUGAUACAUCUGCUACCGUGAUUGAAUGGGCUUUAUCCGAACUUCUAAGACAUCCAAGGGUAAUGAAAAUCCUUCAAGAUGAGAUACAAAAUGAAGUAGGAAAUGAAAGAAUGAUUGAAGAGAAAGAUUUAGAGAACUUAAGUUACUUAGAGAUGGUGGUUCAUGAAACUUUAAGACUUUACCCUGUUGCACCCUUAUUACUCCCUCGUGAAUGUAGAGAGAGUGUAACAAUUGAUGGAUAUUUUAUAAAGGAAAAGACUCGAGUUAUAGUAAAUGCAUGGGCUAUAGGGAGAGAUUCAAAUGUUUGGUCAGAAAAUGCCGAAGAAUUUUACCCAGAGAGAUUCAUUGGCAAGAAAAUGAAUUAUCAAGGACAAGAGUUUGAAUCUCUACCAUUUGGUUCUGGCCGCAGACGUUGUCCUGGAAUUCAAUCGGGUUUAGUGACCGUUAAGUUGGUUAUUGCCCAAUUGGUGCAUUGUUUUGAUUGGGAACUUCCAUAUAAUAUCAGUCCUUCCAAUUUGAAUAUGGAGGAGAAAUUUGGACUCACUAUACCAAGAGCUCAACACUUGCAUGUAAUACCGACUUAUCGUUUGGCAUGUGAUGACAGGGUUGAAUAGGUUCAAGAAGGACAAUAUUAUGCUUGUAUGCAAUAAGUUUAUUACUAUAUUAAAGGACAAUCUUAAAACCCUCUUUUAUUCUACUAACCCUCUCUCAUCAUGUUUUUUGUAACUUGGUUUCGAAUCCGUACGCGGGUUCGCUGGAUUGCGCUCAUGGUGAGAGUUAGUUUGUUAGGAUUGAUUAGGGUAGUUUCAUUUUUCUGUUUUACACGAUGUAUUUCCGUUUGGGUUAUUUCUGGGUCAGGUGCAAUGUCCCCCCAGCUCUUUACCUUUUGUUCUUUUAUGUUAUUUUAUUUCUAUUUUUGCUAUAAAAAAAAAAAAAAAAGUAUAGUAGGUCUAAUGGUAUUUUUCGAUGAUUCUAGGGUGAAGAGAACUAGACUUGCUUUUCUACAUUUGAGCACAUACUUUAAAUAAUUUGAAGGAGCAUUUAUACUUUAAAAUAGACUACAUAAACAAAAUGGAUGAUUUUCAUACUAUUUGUUAAAAUUAAAAAUUAUUUUUCAAAACUAGAUAUCAUAAACUUUCCAGUAAAUGGUCAGUUGCUUAAUUCUGACACCGUUUUCUAUAUUAAUAUAAUCGAUGAAGUUUAUGAUAAAAUGCAGAAAAAUGUGAGAAAAUGAUCAAUAAUUAAAGUAUGCAUACCAUAUUAUUUAUAUUUUCAUACAGGUUGCAAAAUGAUUUCUGUUAUCAAAAUAUGUUUUGAGCUAUGAGUUCCUUAGAAGACUAGACAAAAUAAGGAACCAAGUUGUGAGCCUCCCAUUUAUGGGGAGGACAAGUUCCAUGUCCCAGCAUACUAACUUAUUUAACUUAAUGUUUUAAUUUACUUUAAGAAGAUAUUUAAUUGCAUUUGCACCCAAAACCAAUGUCUUAGUGUUCAAGAGUUUUAGAGUUUGAAAUUCAUAGCACUAUUUAGAUGAUGCGAUGUGAAGGUACGAACUUAAUAAAUAAAGACAGUGAAAUGUUUGUUGUAAUUUAAACCUUCAACAGGUAAGGGGACCUACUCACAUGCUAAGAAUAAUAGAUAUGUUUGGUUAUAUAUACCGUUGGUGUACACAUCUGAUGCGGUGUAUUCUAUGAUUCUUGUAUACACAGGUCAUUAGUUUAUUACUAUAAAUAUAAUAAUUUUUUGUUUUAAUUUCUCUAAAUUUGUUUUUUGAUUGUUAGUUAUGAAAAAUAUUUUAAUCACCAUUUUUUUUUUAAAGAAAUAUGAUUAUAACAUUUCAUUAAUAAUAAAAGAUUCAAUACAAUCAGGUAUGUUAAAAUAAACAAUGAGACUAGUUAGAAACGUGACUUCUCUUACAAGCACAUGAGCAACCAUAUUUGUUUGUCGCCUAGCAAACUCCAUAGAGUUGGUAAAAGAAGAGCUGAAUAGAGAUCGACAAGAAGAAAUAAUGCAUGCAAAUCCAGAAAUGUCGUCUCGAGUAAUCUUGGAAUCAGUUUCAAAAUCAACAUUAUUUAUCAAAUUGCAUAUCACUCAACCAGUGCAUAGCACUAUGUAACAUGAAUGCUUCACCAACAUCAACCGAGUAAAUACAUGGAAAACUGGCAACUUUUGCCAAGACAAACGCACCUUCAAAAUCCCGAACACAAAUGUCAAUUCUAGUUUGGUUAAGAUUAGAUGAGAACGCAACAUUGAUGUUACACUUAUACCUACCUGACAAAGGACGUUCCCAGCAAUUGGAACCCGCGGGUCCUGUACUGCUAAUUGUAUCCAAAGUUGCGGCCGAAUGCUCCCCACCAUGAGGUUGUUGCGCUUGCUGCUGAGUUGUGGGAGCAGCUAUGCUAGAGGCAUUUGCAAGAUGCCAAUCGUUGACAAGUUCUUUGCACGCUCAACAAUCGUGGCACUUACCUAUAUGACAUCAUCCCAAACUUUUAGAUUACCAUGCUUCCAAAGGCUCCAUAAUGUUGCUGCCAACCGUUGGUUUUGUUCGGAAUAUAAUGUAUCCAAUAACAAAAUGAUAGUUUCAGUUGUUAAAGUAGUAAAUUGAAUAGCAUGUUGAAUAGCUCCCCAAAUAUUUGUCAUAUGCCAUACCUGGACAUGAUCAAAAGAACAAUAAAAAUAAUUAAGUGAGCAAGAUCCUCAUGGUUUGAGUUACAACUAACACAAUGUGUAGGACAUUGGAUUCCUUUAUCAAGGAGACGAACACGAGUCGGUAAGUAGCCCCGGCACAUACGCCGCACUAAAUUUUUAACUUUAGGAGGAACCUUAACCUGCAAAAUUCCUGACCAAGAACCUGGACAACGAGAAUGAGAAGAAACAACGGGCUCGUCCAAACAAAGCGGAUAAUCACUACACACAGAAUAACGACUAUUCUUUUCCGCUUUCCAGAUUAAACGAUCAUCUUGGAACUAGGCAAUAAGUGGCGUGUUAAAAAUCUUAUCAGCUAUAUCAACACUAAGAACCUAGCGAACUACCUCUUCAUUCCAGCUCUAGUCGUAUAGAUUAAUCAAAUUAUUAAUGGUAACAUUCUAACCAAAACGAGCUCCUAUAAUACUUCCAUCAAUACACUCUCCGUCAGAUAACCAAGGGUCAUUCAAAAUAGAAAUAGAAGAGCCGAAAUCAAUACUCCACCAAGCACCUCCACAAACGAUAAAUCGGGUGCGCAGAAUGUUGUGCCACACAUAGCUAGGAUUGUGGCCAAGUUGUGCCAUGAGAUAGGUAUGGAAGGGAAAAUAUUGUGCUUUAAAAAUACAAGCGACAUGAGAGUCAGGUUCCAUAAGAAAUUCCUAACCUUGUUUACCCAACAUAGCCAAGUUGAAAGCGGGGAGGUCCUUAAAACCCAUUCCCCUAUGAACCUUGUGUACUAACAACUUCUCCCAACUCAUACAGCUAAUAUUGCGUUGUGUAGUUCUACCAUGACGCCACCAGAAGGAAUUCAUCAUCUCUUCGAUACUGUUAAUUAACGUAAUUGGUGAUAAAAAAAUGCUCAUAACAUAAAAAGGAAUGACCUGCAAGACAAAUUUAAUCAUAACCUCACGCCCUGCCUUAAUUAGUUAAGCAUUUACUACUCUAGGAAUUAAUUUUCUGCCAAACUCGAUCUUUGAUAUAAGCAAAAGUUGCAUUUCGAUCCCUAUACCAAUCAUAGAUGGUAAACCAAAUAUUUGCCGAUUCCCAAUAUCGCCUGAACCCGAAGAAUGUUAGUAAGAGUCAGUUUGAGAAGGUCAGGAACAUUUCGACUACAAUAAGUUUCAGACUUAGGCAAACUAAUGGCAUGGCCUGAAGUUAAUUCACGUUUAAUCACCAAUUUUAGUCCUUACUUUUAAGUCAAUUCAUAUGUAUCAUUCAUGUUUUUUAAUGAAAAUUACCAAGAAUGUUUACAAUAUUAUAAGAAUCUCUUCAAAAAAAACAAUAAUUUAGAAAGAAAAAAAAAAGAAUUAUAUAUGUAUUUGUAUGUACCAAAAACAUAAAAAAUAAAAUCAUGUUUGUUAAAAAAUUCUAAAUUUGUUUGGAAGAUAUUCUUAUAAUUGUUGAUAUAAAAUCUAAAUCCCCAUUUUUAGUUUUAAAGAUAACAAACUAAUUAAAUUAAACUUUAUUAAUUCUGAUUUUAAUUGUUAUAUAACUUGUGCUCUUGAGUAUCUUUUUUAAGUUAAAGGUAUAAAAGCAUUGUACAAUUAUCAAGGAAAGCAACAAGUUAUGAUGGAGAGAUUGAUCUCAAGCAUUGGUUUCAAAUAUGGAUUUAAUGUUCAAAUAAGGCCAAGCACGUACAGGGAAAUGGAAUGUUACAUUUGAGGAAGCAAUAAAUAUUUCAAGCAUAAACUAUAUCAUGACAAGGAAAUAUUAUUUGAAGCUUACUACAAAUGAACAUAUGAACAAAAAGAACAUAUUUAAUGUCAUGUGCAAAAAUAGUUGGCAUGAGAAUGACCACUAUAUUUUCGACAACACAUCAAGAGUGUAAGACAAAUACAAAACUAUGAACCUUUGGAUAUUCACUUUAUGGUCACCUCACAACAUGACAAGAAAGCUGCCUAGUACAAGAAAAGCCUUUUCUUUGGGCUCAAGUCUUAUGGUACAGCAACAAGUGAAAAGGAAAUGAGCUGUACAAAGCUCAUGUCUCACGUAGCAAGCAACAAAGUACAAAGGAAAGCUUCAGCAGAUUUAGAGAUCGAUCUCAACUUUGAAAGGAACAGUUCCAUCUCAAAGGCUCCCUUGAAUCUUGUGCUGCAAGAAAGGAAGAAUUUAACAAGGGUUUUUCUCCUAUAAAUAGAAGACUCCAGCAAGUGAGAAAAACAACUUUUGAGCAAAAGAAAAAAGACAACAUUCUUUAAGAAUUUCUUUGUUUACAAAUCACUCAAGAAUCAUAUCUUUGUUUUGAGCAAGCAGCUCUUUUGUGUAUUAAAUCUUUGAAGAAGUUUAAUACUUUCAAAUACUAUUGUAAAAGAAUCUGCAAGUGUGCAGAAAGGUUGUAAAAAUUCUUGCUCGUAACGGCAAGUGACUUGACCAAGUGAAGGUUGAAAGAAAGUGUUGUAUAGAUCAGAAAGAUCUAAAAAGAAAGAAGGAAUUGAGAUUAAGUCAUAACUCAAUUACCUAGUGGAAAAUCUCACAAGUAUUGUGGGGACUGGACUAACCCACGUUGGGUGAACCAGGAUAACUCUUUUUGUGUGAUCCUUCUUCCUUAUCUAUUUUUAUUUGCACUAAUCACACACCUUCACUAUAUCUAUUUAAAAUUCCAUUUAAAUCACUAACGUUUUUUUGUUGAGAAUUUUUAAUAGGUAAUUUUUAUUACAUCACAAUUCAAACCCCCUUUCUUGUGAUAAUUAUUUAUCUUCAAUAAUACUUUAUGAAUUUCUGAAAAUUUAAUUAAAAAAUAUGAAGACUACACAAGAGUUCACUUAAAAGUAGAGAUCAGAAGUAUUGAUGAAAAUUUUAAGAAGACUAAAUAUUGAAGAAAUUUUUAGAGGAACUAAAACUAAAAAUUAAUAUAUUUAUAAGGACUAAAAACAUAUUUAACCAUAUCUUUUAUUCUCUAUUCAAAAUAUACCGUAUUAGAUUGCUUUCUUUAAAGAUUAUCGAUAUAAAACAUAAUUAAAAAUUAAUAAUUAAAUAUAAGUGGUUUCAUAGCCAGUAGUAAUAUAUUCAUUUUGAUGUCUUAAAAAAAAUAUUAAUAAUUAAAUAUAAAUAUAAAGAGAAAAGCAUUUCUUUAUGAUGGGAAAGAAAAAAAAAUGUAUCAUGUGUCAAAACUCAACUCAUUUUAUUUUUCAACAAUAUUCUUCUCAUAUAAUUGUAAUGUUUAUACAUUUUAUUUUACCAUCAAUAUUCUUUUUUUACCGCCAUGAGAAUUACACCGACCAAGGAAACAUGUGGUCCCCGCCCAUAUCGCCAAAAUAACGUUGUCCAUUCUUUUUUUAAUGAAAUACAUGUAGAUUUGACUUUGUAUGGAGAGGUGGAGUUGUGGGACGCCUCAUCUAUGUUAGCUUGCUCACUACUCUCCACCUCAUCCACAUUCAGUCAGUCACCCACUACCUCAUAUGAUCAACUCUAUAAAUAUGGGGAUUUCCGGCCUCCAUAAUUCAUUCACUCCUUCUUACCAAAAAAACACUAAUAACCUAAGAGCUCCUCACUGUCAUCACCAUGGCCAGGAGGGUCUCUACUACUGUACACAGAACAAGUACAUUUUUAAUUUAUUUUUAGGCAAAUUCUAUGGUACACCUAAUAUAUUUGAGUGUAUCAGUACACUCACUCUUUAAAUUAAUGGUUAAAUGAGUUGUAUUUUGAAGAAAAAUAUUAUUUUCUAUCAUUUAUAUUUAUAAUAACUAAAUCUUAUUCGUCAGAAGUGUUAACGAAAUAAAAUUAAUUUUUUUUUUGAAUUUUUAGCACUCAUAAUUGAGAAUAUUGAUUAUAUUUUACGAUUAUAUGUAAAAAAAAUUAUUAUGAUUCCUAUAAACAAUGAACUGAUGUUUUUUCUUAUGAAAUAUAAAUAUUGAUAAAUAGUUAUUUAUUUCAUAAAAAACGAUCGUUAAUUUAUAAAAUUAUGAAGAAAGAGUACCGGUACACCUCAUUUUAUGAGUGUACCGUAAAAGUUCCCUUAUUUUUAUUGGAAAAAGGAAAUUAUUAAUAAUGGUGACAUCAAUGAACAUAUUACAAUUGUCCCACGUUGGGUUUGGACCAAUAUUUCAUUUGUGAUUACAGUAAAUCUCUUUCCACAGAUGUUGGACAUAAUAUCAAAUGUAAUAAUCAAACAUAUACUCUCUCCGUCCCAAAAUAUAAGCAAAAAUAGUUUAAACCAAAUACAUUAACUUUUGUUGUCUAAUUUUUGUUUACAUUUUGGGACGGGAAGAAAUACUCGUUUAUAAUUAGAAUAUUUUAUUUUAUAUAAAAAAAUGAUCAUUCAAAUUGAUUGUGUACAUCCGAUACAAACAUAAAUUCAGCAUUUCUAAAAAUGAAAAUAAAUUUAAGAAUAAACUCACAUCAUCCAAAUUAAUACCAUAAAACAACAACAAAAAUUAUAAAUAAUGUGACAAAAUUAAAGGAAUUGGAAUAUUCAUGUAUUCAAAUCUGCAAUUGACGACUUAAUCAUUUGUUGAAUCAGAAAUUGUUUGAAGUUGAUAUGUUUAUCUAAGUCAAAUGAACACUACACCCAGAUGAAAAUUCAAACAAACACUACAUCAAAACGAGAAAUCAAACAACGUCGCACUGAGAUGACGAAAUCAUAAAAGAAACUUAGGAAAAAUAUGUACUUUAUAGAAAUAUCUUCAAGUUCGCGCAUUGUACAUCUUUGUUUUUUUCCUUCAAAUCUGUUAGAAUAUUCCUAGGCGCCGCCAAACUCUUUGUCAUGUCGAUAACCUUUUCUUCUCCUCCGCUUUUAGUCUACCUGCAAGAAGGUGGCCGUCUAACUUUGGCGCCAACUCAUGGUUGUGCAUUCCACAAAGCAUUGCAAUCCACCAAUCUUUUGUAUCCUUAUCAAAGAAACCUUGCAACCUAAGCGAACAUUCCCAUUUCCUUGAGCCCGUGUCUUCAAGGUUUGGUUUCUUCCUCGUCUUAGGUGGCUUGUAUUCACCACUGCUUUCACAUUGUGUCGUCAAAUAUGACCUUUUUAAACUAGAUUUAUCUAUAAAAAUAGUAAAUCCGGCCCUUGCCACUUGUGGCCAACCUAACCAAGUAAAUCUUCUCGGUCUUUCCAUCUUUUAUUUGUUGUAAAAAACGAGUCGGUGUCUACUUCAAUACCACGAUCAUUGGUAGCCAUUUGUCAUGGUCUGACCUCUAUAAUAUAUUGUCUACAACAAUCACUAUAUACAUGUAAUUUUUUUUUUUUUAAAUUCAUUAAAUAAUUAUUAUAUCUAAUUUAUUUAUAAAUGAGAUACAUUAAUUAUUCAAUAAAACUAAAAAAUUAUUUUUUACUUGUAUAUUUAACCGACUAAGAAUGGAAGGUGGAUCCAGUUUUUGAGGGAUGAAUCCAUUCAUCUGCAGUGUCUACCUUUACUUCUUCAAUUUAAUUUCUUUGUAUAGUUAGUCUUAAAAAAGUUAUGUAGCGAAAUAGUUCAAUCUAUUUGAAUUAAUGGUUUAAAGGAAUUAAGGAGUUAAAAAUCUUGGUUCAAGUCUUAUAAGAAAAUAAAUUAACAUAGGCUUAAAUGCUCUUUUGGUCCCUUAACUAUUUAAUUGGUAUCGCUUUGGUCCAUUAACUAAAAAAAAGAUUGUUUGAGGAUUUUAAAUUUUUUUUAAGUCUCGUUUUGGUCCCUUCGGUUAGGUUUCCGUUAGUUUUAAUAAAAAACGUUAAGUGUGGACACAUGUCACCUUGUCAUUGGUUCUGAGAUUUUUUUUUUACAAAAAAAAUAAUAAUUUUUUUUGUAAAAAAAAAAAAAAAAACUCAGAGCCAAUGACAAGGUGACACUUGUCCAAGAGUUAACUUUUUUUAAAACCCUAACGGAAACCUAACAGAAGGGACCAAAACGAGACUAAAAAAAAACUUAAAGUCCUCAAACAAUCUUUUUUUUAGUUAAGGGACCAAAGCGAUACCAAUUAAAUAGUUAAGGGACCAAAAGAGCAUUUAAGCCAAUUAACAUAUUUGAUAUUUGUCAUUUUCUUUGAAGGAUUGAUAUUUGUCAUUUAAAAAUACUUUCUAUUAAGGAGAAAAAUACUUCAAUUAACAUAAUCAUAUUUUAUCAUAUCUUCUUGAGCUUAGCUCAGUUGAUAGAAACAAUGUAUAAUAUAUGCAAGGUUUGAGUCAAACCUCGACCACCACAAAAAAUAAAUCAUAUUUUACCAUCACGUCAUUUUAUUAUAUUAGUUUACUGUAAAUAUAUUUUAAAAGAAUUCAUGAAAAUCCCCUAAAAAAAGAAUUCAUAAAUCUUCUCCUACAUAAUAUAAUAUAUAUAUUGUAAAACAUGAUUCAACUUAUAUGUAAGUUUUUGUUAACGGAAAGCGAUACCAAUUAAACAAAUCAAAAUUAUUUGUUUCCACCUUUAUUUAACUAAUAAUUAUUCUAUCACUUGCACGGCUGCACCAUCUUCAAAUCCUCAAUCAAGCAACACUAAUAAUUCUUUAUAGUUCUCAUCCUUAGAACUUAGAUCCAAAGAAUUCACUGUAAACAUGUUUUCAACAACAAUAAUAAUUCCUUUCAUUCUCUUCACUUUCACAUACCUUUUAUUCAAAUUCUACUUACGUGAAAAACAAAACACCAUAAAUCAUAAAAAACCACCAGGUCCACCAACACUACCAAUAAUAGGAAACCUUCACAUGUUAGGUAAACUUCCACAUAGAACACUUCAAUCACUGUCCAAAAAAUAUGGUUCAAUCAUGUCCUUACAACUUGGUCAAGUUCCAACAAUUGUUAUUUCAUCUUCAAAAGCUGCAGAAUCAUUCCUCAAAACUCAUGACAUCAAUUUUGCAAGUCGGCCAAAGACUCAAGCAUCUCAGCUCAUUUUUUAUGGUUCCAAAGGGUUGGCUUUUUCUGAGUAUGGUCCUUAUUGGCGUAGUGUAAAGAAACUUUGCACUUUGAAACUUCUUAGUGCUUCAAAAGUUGAGAUGUUUGGUCCUAUUAGGAAGAAGGAGUUGGAUGUUUUGGUUAAGUCAUUAGAGAAAGUUGUUUUGGUAGGUGAGGUUGUGAAUGUUAGUGAGAUUGUAGAGAAUCUUAUUGAAGAUAUUGUGUAUAAGAUGAUAUUGGGUAGGGGUAAGUAUGAGCAAUUUGAUUUAAAGAAGUUGGUUCAAGAAGGAAUGGCUAUGCUUGGAGCUUUUAAUCUGGCUGAUUAUGUUUCUUGGUUAGGUCCUUUUGAUCUUCAGGUAUGUGUGUAAAAGUUGAAGAAAUUAGUUACCUAUUGACUUGAUUUUAUUUUAAGUCUCUUAAGUAUCGUAGCUGUACAUUUUUCAUUGGUCACUUUAUUAUAUUGCACAGUUUUGGGUCCUUCAUGUUUUUUCCUCUUAUGUAUUAAUUGAGGGGUCCUUCAAUAUUUUAGUAUUACAAGGGAGAAAAUAGGGAAGAAAAAAAAAGAGGAUCAUGUAAUUGAACAACACAAUAACACUAGGACACAAUAACACUAGGGUUACCGUCUUUUUUUUCUUCUUUCAAAUAUAUACGUAUGUGAAGAAACUAGACAUUGCAAGUUUAAAUUUAUGUUCUAAGGUGUUCCACAAAUCCUGCGUUAACUUGUAACCUCGUACAACUCGUACAAAUUUACGUUUUUAUGUGUCAAAAAUAUGUUAAGAGCAUGUUUGGCCCUGCUUAUUUGCCACUUAUCUUUUACUUCUAAAGAGAAGUGGGGCCAAACAUAAUUUUGAUAAAGCUCUUAAUAAUAGAAGUGACUUUUUUGUAAAGAAGGAAAUCCAACAAAAGUGACUUUGAAAAUAAGAUAAAAAAAUGAGCUUUGAGAGUGACUUUUCGGAGGUUAUACCUGCUUUUCCUCCUUCGAUUCCCGCAAGCCACUAUAUUUUUUAUUUUAUUAUUAUUUCUGGCAAAUCGGAGGUAAAUUUGAUUUUUGGUGAAAUUGAAUGUUUGACAAGUUUGACCAAGUUAACACAUGUUAAAUUCGGUAAAUUAGAUCGAGUUUAUGAGUUUACUUUUUUUUUUGGCAAACACUUUUUAUAUUUUUUAUUUUUUAUUUUUGGUCCCACUAUGUAAAUCUUAGAAAAUCAAUGUCAUGACGACCAUGUCCCUUAAUUAAUUCUAAAUUUGAGUAAAAAUAAUGGACUACAUAAAGUGACAGAAAAUGGAGGGAUUUGAGGAUUUGUGUGUUGACUUUCACUUUAGUCUCUAGAUCCAUGUUACACAUCCUUGUCGGCAUUUAACGGUCAAUUUUAACGUCAAGCACUAAACUAACCAACGGAGGUAAACAUCCGGGGACCAUUUUGCAUUUUAUCAUAAGUCAAGAUUAUUGUAACAGUGAGGUGCAAAGUCAGAGACUAAAAUGAUUAUUUCUUCAUUUUUUUAUUGUUCCAGUAAGGUAUGUAAAAAUAUCCAAUUAGUAAUUGUCAUUCUUAAUUUAACACUUUGCUAGGGAUUUACACGAACCUGCAAGAAAACCGGUAAAGCACUUGAUGAGGUAUUGGAGAUGAUAAUUACAGAGCAUGAACAAAGCACUAAUGUAGACAAAGUUCGUCAUGAAGAUUUCAUUGAUAUACUUCUCUCAAUUGUGCACCAAACGGUAGAUCCAGAAAAUGAACAAAGUGGUGUUAUUGACAGAACUAACAUCAAGGCAAUUUUACUAGACAUGAUUGUGGCAGGAAUUGAUACAGCCACUACCACGAUUGAGUGGGCUUUAUCUGAACUUUUCAGACAUCCAAGAGUGAUGAAAAAGCUUCAAGAUGAGAUACAAAAUGAAGUAGGAAAUAAAAGAAUGGUCGAAGAGAAUGAUUUGAAGAAGUUGAAUUACUUAGAUAUGGUGGUUGAUGAGACAUUAAGACUUUACCCUGUUGGACCCUUAUUACUUCCUCGUGAAUGUAGAGAAAGCAUAACAAUUGAUGGAUAUUUUAUAAAGGAAAAGACACGAGUUAUAGUAAAUGCAUGGGCUAUAGGGAGAGAUUCAAAUAUUUGGUUAGAAAACGCUGAUGAGUUUUAUCCAGAGAGAUUUAGUGAUAAGAAAAUGAAUUAUCAAGGACAGCAAUUUGAAUCUAUACCAUUUGGUUCAGGUCGUAGACGUUGUCCUGGGAUUCAAUUGGGUUUGGUUACGGUUAGAUUUGUUGUAGCUCAAUUGGUGCAUUGCUUUAAUUGGGAACUUCCACAUAAUAUUAGCCCUUCCAAUUUGAAUAUGGAAGAGAAAUUUGGAGUCACUAUACCAAGGGCUCAACAUUUGCACGCAAUACCGAGUUAUCGUUUGGAAUGUGAUGAGAAGCUUGAAUAGGUCCAUAAAGGACAUUAUUAUGCUUGUAUUCAACAAGUUUAUUACUAGUAAAGAUGUUAUAAGUUGGUCUAAUGGUGCUUGAAUAGAAUAAGUUAAUGAGUAUUGCUAGUUUUUAUUAUAUGUUAAUAGCCAACAUAUGAAUAAAUUAGGAGUGAAGAAAUUAGAGAAAUUAUCAGUUAAUUGCUUAUUGAAUAAGUGUUUAUCAUACAAGUGUUUAUGUAUAUGAUCAGUUAUUCCAAUAAUUAAAGUGAUAAUCCGGUCCACUAUUUUCAACUAACUUGUAACUGAUUUUCUUAAAUUUGUCAUAGAGUGCUAAUUCAACCUAUGACAUCAGGUUCACAAUGGUAUGAAGAAUUAGUUCACUGGUUUAUGCUUGCUUUGUAAUUGUUUUUAGAAAUUUGAAUUAAUAAUAGUCUCAAUUUUAAUUUCAUAAUAAUCAUGAGUAGAGAAUAAUGCCCAGUACCUUAUUGUAAUGAUACCAAAGUUUGGGUUUGGAAUCUCUCCGGUGGUCACACGAGAGUCCAGUGAAAUCUUGUCCAUUAAAAAUUAAUGUAUAUGAGAAUUUUAAAUGUUGAAAAUAAAAGAGAAGACAAUUAAUGGUGCAGAUUGUAUCACUGCAGAAAACUGGAGAGAUUUUCACAGGAGGAAAUCCAUUUCCCCAAAAUUUUAUUUGGAUUUGUUAGUUCAAGACAACUUUUAGGUUGUGAAAGUAUAAAUACAGAUUUUCAUGCAAUUAUAACAUAAGGGAUGCCUAAAAUUCUAGAAAUUAGAGGAACAAAUAAAUAAUUUGAUUAGAGGAAAUAUUGGAAGUAGUGUUUUCAUAGUACUGAAUAGUUUGAUUCACCAUAAAAAACUCCAUCAAUUUUAAAAAUUUAUCAUUAGCUGAGUUAAGGUUUGUAUCUCUGUUUCUUUGAUUAACUUCAUCUUAUUUGUCGUUCUACAAUCUCCAUAGUAACAUUCUAGUUUUGUUGUCAUGUGUGAUAUGUUGUGUUAAAAAAGCUUUAGAAUUUGAAGGUCUACCUCAUUUCUAGAAUUGAUAUUAGCAUGUUUGUGCAAGCGGUUGAUUUAUCAAUUCAGUGAUAAAAACCCACGUUUGAAGAGAAGCUACCUUUUGAAGCUUCUUUAAAUCACGUCUUUCCAGCACACUGGCGGCCGUACGUACGUCCGCUNNNNNNNNNNNNNNNNNNNNNNNNNNNNNNNNNNNNNNNNNNNNNNNNNNNNNNNNNNNNNNNNNNNNNNNNNNNNNNNNNNNNNNNNNNNNNNNNNNNNGGAGACAUCCCAGACACUUGGCAUGAUCAUGAUUGAACAGAGAAGCUUUGCACAGCUUGAUGUGUAGAGGUACCAGAGGAGUUGCGACGUUGCGGACAUCAAGUCUCGGAGCUUCUUCACACACUUCGAUCAUAUUCACAGCGGCAUGAUUUGGUAGCGGAUUGUCGAGGACAUGUGGGACAUUAUUCUCAAAAGUCAGCUUCCCUUGAUCGAUGAGCUUCUUCACGAUAUACUUCAAAGCAUAACACCCCUCGACGUCAUGACCCAAGGCACCUUGAUGAAAGUCACAUUUGAGAUCAGACCUGAACCUUGGAGGCAACGGAUCAGGUGGGGGCUUACCCUGUCUAGUUGUACAAUGACCUCUCUGGAGUAGAGUUGGAAGAAGUUCUGCAUACAACAUUGGUAUAGGAGGGAAGGUUGGCCUGGCUUGCUGAUUUUGUUGUUGUUGUUGAACCGGCAUCUGUUGUUUCAUCUGUUGGGCAAUUGCAUUGACGGGCACUUGAGGCUGGCCCGGCGGCAAAGGGUACUGAUGAUAAAACGGUGGGAAGAACGGAUGCUGAGAAUACGGCAUAUAUGGGUAUGACGGAGGCAUUUGAGCUGCAUUGAUAGGAGCAACAGUAGCCAUUGAUUGCCCGGCUCCAGCUGACACCAUCCCCACUUCCGUUUCUUUCUUUUUGUGGUGUCCAUUACCAUAUCUCUUCGACGCAUUCACAGAGGAUUCAGCUUUCUCAAACACGAUGAUUCCAUCCCUUACGGCUUCCUCAAGACGGGUUCCCAUGGUGACCAUCUCCGAAAAGUUGUUCGGGGCAGCGAUGAUCAUCCUCUCAACAUAAUCUUUCUUCAACGUUUUUAAGAACGUCUGGGUCAUUUCUUCCUCAUCUAAAGCAGGAGUGAUACGGGCAGCCGCCCCUCUCCACCUUUGCGCAUAUUCACGGAAACUUUCCUCCUUCUUCUGAGAUAGGGACCUGAGAAACUCCCUAUUUGGCCUCAGUCGAGUGUUAAACCCAUAAUGGCUCUUGAAAGCGGUGGCUAACUCAUCAAAGGUAUGGAUGUCAUUCUUACUCAAACUAGUAUACCACUCUGCGGCAUCCUCCAUCAGACUAUCCUGAAAACAGUGGAUCAUAAGGGAAUCAUUGUCUUUGUAAUUGCCCAUCUUCCGGACGUAUUUGAUGAUGUGAUUUUGAGGACAAGUUAGCCCGUUGUACCGGUCGAAGUCCGGAAUCUUGAACUUUUUAGGAACAUCCACUUUUGACACUAAGCAAAGGUCUUGAGUUUUGACAGAGUUUGCACUCCCUCGAUUGGCCUGGAUCUCGUGACGGAGUUCUUUAGCAAGUUCCUCCAUCAUCUCUUCCAUAGUCUUGGUUACGGGGAUGCUUCUGUGCUGUGUGUUGACGUUAAUACCUUGAGGCAGAGUGUGUACCAGAGGCUCAGUGACAGCUGCUGUUGUUUGUGGCAAAGUAGCAAUGAUGGAGGCGGCAUUUGUUGCAGGGAUCAGAACAUUGUUAGCAGUGCCCGAGGUGCUUGCUGUAGCAACGGGAGUGAAGAACGGUGGAAGCCCAUACGGAAACCCCACUGGCAUAGUAAAGCGGUUGUCUGCAGAAGUGGUAGGGAGCACGCUUGUAGUUACUGGUGCAGCUGUGGUUGUAGGGAUAGCUGUAGCUGAUUGCUCUUGAGCAGCUAGUAGAGCAGUCAUGACGUCAUUAGCUUUAGCCAAUUCCUCCUUUAGAGAGGCCAACUCGGUGCGAAGCUGAGCGUUCUCUUCUUCCAUAGCCCUUUUCUUUCUUCUGUAUUCUCUGGUUCGAUCAAUUCUAUCUGGUUCGUAAACUCUCUGAGCACGAGCCACUUUUCACACUGUGGCAGAGGAACCAGGAGAUAGUGAGCACUUGGAAGCCUUUGUGACCAAUGCAUGAUGCAUAUGAUGCAUGAUGUGCAAAUGCGAAUGCAAAAGACUUAUUUUUUUUCAUCGAAGGAAUUUUGAACCAAUUAGAAAUCUUUGCAAAUAAUCAAAACUACAUAGUAUUUUUUUUUAACAGGAAGACUUUGAAAUUUCAACAAGAUAAACACAUGGAGUCCUCAAGCAUAGGAAGUAGUCGGAGGAUCAUCGGACUCGGAAUCUGAAUCACAGUAUCUGGCAAAGAAGUCUCGUCGUCCUCGGGCUCUCUUGGAAUCCCUCAUAAGCAGCUCGUCUUUCUCUUCUAGUUCCCUCCGGGCCUUAGCUAGCUCUUUCUUCAACAUCAGAUUCUCAUGAGUCUUCUGCUCAUCUCUACCAUCCAAAGUCAUGAUUAGAUUCUCGGCUUGAUUGUACCGAGCCUUCCACACUUGCUUCUCACGACUCUCCAUAGCUAGAUGCUCCUGAUACAUAUCCUGAGUCGCGGGGAGCAAAGGUAGAGGCAUAGAUGGGGUAGAUGAAGACACAUAUCUCAUAGCUGGAUAAGGCAUACCAAUCUCCUCAGCUCGAUCUAUCACCCACUGGGUAUAGGCCUCAUGAGCGACACCGGAUCUCACACCUAGAUGCUUCACACUCUUCCUUCGAACCUUGGACCAAGCAUCCACGAAAGCUUUCCUUUGUCCGGUAGGAGCAUUCGUGUAGAAGAAGAACUCUGGAGAUGUGGCAAGAUUGAUGGGCUUCGACUUCAUAGGGAAACCAAACUGUCUCAUAGCAAGCUCGGGAUUGUAGUUGAUUCCUCCACGAGUACCAAGAAGAGGUACAUUGAGAAAGUCUCCACAACCCAUAAUGAUUUCCUUCACUUGAGCGGCAGGAGUGAGCCAGACGACCUCAUCAGGAGUGAGAGCCAUAAUCCGCUGAGAGUAGGACCAAUUUUCCGAGUUAUCAUGGAAGGAACUCGGAAGGUGCGAAAUAAACCACCUAUACAAAAGAGAUGUGCAGCAAAGAAUAUACCCACGGCCCUUGAGAGUCCUGUCAUGAAUGGCGUGGUAGGUGUCCGCUAGCAAAGUAGGAACCGGGUUCUUAGAAUGAAAGAUCUCGAUAGCAUUCAUGUCCACGAAGUUGUCAAGGUUCGGGAAGAGAAUGAGCCCGUAGAUAAGCAAAGCAAGAAUAGCCUCGAGUGUGUCCUGGCGAGUGGUACCGAGAUUAGCCUGAUCAAGAAGAUACUUCGAAGUGAAACCCCGGAUGUGAGACUUGGUAAUAAGAUGGUUGGAGACGUCGGAAGUCUUGAGGUAGAGAUCCUUAGCAACAACCAGAGGAGUAAGAGGAGUCCCGGGACCGGCGAAAGGCGUCUUCUCGGCUAUAGGUAACCCCACUAGAUUGGAGUAAGCCUCGAGAGUAGGAACCAACUGGAAGUCCGGGAAAGUGAAGCAGCGGAAGCUCGGAUCAUAAAAUUGCACCAGAGUGUGCAUUAGCUUCUCGUCCACAUCGGUUCGGAGCAAAGUAAGCAAUCCCCCAUACCGGAGUCGGAACCCUGUUUGACUCUUGACCUUGAGCGCCAACUCUCUCAAACUAACCAAAUCCACUUCCUUGAACUUGUAGCACUUAGUCUUCUUCAUACCUGUGAUUAUUUACAAAAAUUCUCAUUUGUUUAAACCCUUCGAUGAAUGCAUGAAAAAUAUUUAUGCAUGAAUGCAUGUAUGCAUGAUUGUGUUGUUUAGUUACAAUGUGGGUUGAGAUUCAAAGUAACAAGGCCACGGAUGGACACGGCGUCCGGUGAACUAAGGCUUUGGAUAGUAGUAACCAAGGUUCUAACACAGUUCCCAAACUGCAACCUCUCUCACAUAUAUCAUGGUAGUACAGGACGACACCCGUUCCACGAUUAUUUGUGAGAAGGUCUAGUUUGAGUGUAGUAUCGCGUGACGACUAAAGUUUUGAGACAACACUCAAUUUAGCCACCGCACUACGUCCUAAAAAGGCUAGGAUGGGUUUGGUAACUACGGUUCAUAGCUUCGUCGAACAAUUGAAAGUGAAGUGCCUAAGCAUGACGACACACGCCGACAAUAUCACCUUCAAAAUGCCUCAGCUAUGUGAGAUUGAUCGCAUAAUCCAAUACACGAGGCAACCCCCGGAUCGAAUUGUCGAUUAUAUCUCUACCUAAACAUAAGUUCACUCAGCCCGGGUAUAGGACUUUUGAUAUUCUCACCCCACACGUCAAAUGAAAGUAAACAAAUAUUCACAUAUGUAAGCAAUAAAAUAAAACAUAAAUAUAAACUAAGGAAAACUAGGCGCGACCCGCUUAAAAAAGUCCCCAGUGAAGUCGCCAUUUCUGUUAUCAUGGUUUUUGGGUACCAAGUCAUUAAUUGGACUUGUACCUUUCGACCGUUGAUAUCUCUCUUUUUUCUUGGGAAGGGAAAAAUUGAGAAAAAACCCUUAGAUUCUAAGUUCGGGGGUCGGUUUUACUACGGGAAGGUGUUAGGCACCCGGAGUAACUAUAGUCCUCUAUAGGAGCCGUUUUCCUAAGUCGAUUUUUACGCUUUAUUUUUACCUACUUUUGAAAAUGGGAGGUUUAUUUAGUUAAGAGUGGGGGUGAGAAGAAGUAGAAUUUUGAUUUUAUUUCGGCUUGGAUGAGUUUUGACUCAUUGCCUACGUACCCUUUUAAGGGAUCAAAACCGUUCGUAGUUCUUGCUAAAAAGACUUGUUUUUGUUUUAAUUGUUUGAUUUUAAGUUUUGAAAAUGGUUUUGAAGAAGGAGAUUGGGAGGCUUCAUGAGCAUUAGAUUUAGCAAAAAGUGAGGUUUGAUUAGUGAUUAAAAAAGAAAGUCUAAAUGAUUAAGAUGAAUUGAAUUUUUCUCAAGAAAAAAAAGAAAGGAAAAGAAAUGAAGUGUUGACUUCAUGUUUAUUAUGAAAAUUUUUGAAGUGAAGUUCAAUUGUUUUUUUUUUGGAAAAAAGAUGGAUUUUCUCUAGGUGUUUAAAACCUAAACGCUUAUUUAACCAUACAAUCCUAUGCAUACAUCUAAGGUGAGUGUGUGCGUGUCGGUGCGUCAUAGUGUCCAUAGUCCAUAUUACAAAAAUUGCCUAAAUACAUUCUAUGGCCCCUUUGCCAAGCUACAAACCAAUGAUGACAAAUUACAUCACUAAAUGAAUUAAAACUUGCAAAAAUAAAUGCUAGGCUAAAGAGGGUGGAGGGAAUGCUAAAUGGGAUGCAUGAAACAUGGGAAUAAACUUGUUAGUCAAAAGAAAAAACAUAAUAAGCACUAAGAAAUAAAAUCAUGCAAGAUGACACAAAAAGUUAACAAAAUGACAUUAAACCCUAAAAACUUAGGUAUGAAACCUAAAGCAUCCUUGGCCUCUAAUUCUCAUGCUUUAACAAAUUUUGAAAGAGUUUUCUUUAUCUCAAGUUAUAGCAUGAAAUUAUUGGAAACAUGCAAGCAUGGUUUCAUGCCAUAUUUUCUAGAAUAAACUUGGCAUUUUAUAUCUUUCAAAAUAUGCAUAUAUUGCUCAUAAAAUCAAGCACUCAUGAACCAAAUCAAAACAGCAAAACAACACGAAAUUAUAGGCACAAAUUUCUCAUAUUAACACAUCAAAAAGCUUUUAUCACAUAUUCGCACAUCAAGGACAAAUGUAUGAAGAAGAAUCCAUAACAAAUAAUUCAAAGAGAAUUAAAAUGCUAUGAAUUAACCAUACCAAAAUUUCAUAGAUCCUUAAUGUGCAAAAAUGUCAUAAAAACACUAAGAAAAUAUCAGGAAACAUGCAUGAAUUUUUCUAGGAAUUUUAUCACAAUUUUAAUCAAGACAUAGGUACAGGUAGCAAAAAUAGAGGUGUGAAAAGCACAGGAAUAGCAAAACGUAAAGAUCCAAAGGAAACAAAGGCCCAACCCAAAACCCUAAGGAACCGGAUUCACAGGAGCCACAGGAUUGAUCCAGGGUCCUGAAACCCUAGAUCAAACGGCCUGGAAUCAACAGGAUUGGACCGGUCUUGGACCGGUCUGGUUCACUAGCUUAUUUAAAAGGCAUGGCACCGGUUUUCUUCAUUUUUCACUCCCCUUUCUCUCUCUAGCUCUUCUCUCUUCUCUCACCUCUCACCUCUCUCUAAACCUCGCCGCCGGCGAGGAUGAAGCUACGGCGGAGACCUUGAAGGUCCGCCGGAAACUUCAUCUUCUCCGGCGAGUUCAUGCAGUUUCCGGUGACCUAAAUUUCCAGAUUUCAAAGAUUCUUACUUCGUUUGACUCGUCCUUUAACCCUAAACACGAAUCCGGCAUUUGUUUUUUCAAAAACGGCUUUGAACGACGUAGAUCUUGAAAAAGCUUUUACGGUUUUGAAAUGAUUUUUGAUUUUUUUGAAUGAGAUCAUUUAGAUCUUUAAAGAUCUACAUCGUUUCGUCGUUUGAUUACUUUUUGACGCCUGUUUUCGCUUUCAAAACGUUGAUCCUUACGGAUCUGGAUUUUGAUGUUUACGGUUAUAGUUUUCUUUGAAUUCUGGAACCUUUGGAUCUGUUUUGCUUGCGUGAUUUUUAGGUUUAACAGUGAUAUUGCUUUUGAAAAAGAGUAUGAGUUUUACCUAAGGUUUUGGUUGAAACCUUUAAUGGAGAAAUUCUUUGGAAAACUUCAAUCUCUGAUGCUACGUGAUUUGGCUUUGAAUCCGGAAAUAAACCGGUGUUCCUGCUGGUUUCUUGCUUUAUCGCCUUCUUCGCCGGUUUAAACCUUCAUCAUCUUUCUUUCUUCUUCGUCUUCCUCACUGUAUCUUCGUGAUCGGUGCUGGAGUUUGCCUUUGGCGAAUUCGCACUUCGAAUUGCGAAGAUAUUGAUUCAAUGAUGAUGAUUCUUCAAAGAAUCACUGAGAAUCCAUGAAAAAUAGCUUGAAUUUGUGUAGUUUCUGUUUCUGGAAAACGGUUAGGUUUUUUGUUCUUGGUGUUCUUGAUGAAUCUGAGGAAUUUUUUCUGUUUUGAUUCAGUUGCUGAGAAAGAGAAAAUUUGGAAUGUGUUUAUGAGUUGGCGUGUGUUCUCUGGCUCUGAGUGGCACUGUGCACCUUUUAUAGCUUGACAUGUGUGUAUCUGAACAAAUGAGAAAGUGACACCUGGACCUGAAAAAAAAAGAUGGCACGGCCUUGGGCAAAAAAUGAAAUUGGACCUUUCUGCAAAAUUGAAAAAAUAAGGGACUAAACUGCAAUUGACAAAAAGGACUGAAAUGUAAAAAAAGAAAAUUCUGGACUGAAAUGCAAUUUUGGGACCUCACUUGAGGGACCAAAAUGCAAUUAAAAAAUAAAAUUGAAUAAAAAACGUAAUUUGACCCAACGUAAAGCGAAACAAAAAAAUAAAAUUGACAAAACGGACUAAAACGAACCAAUGGCCUAAAUGAGGUACUUCAAAGUAACCUCCCCAUGCCAAAAUUUUAUGUGAAAUGACCAAAAUGCCCCUAGGGCUAAAAACGACCUAAACAGAUUCAAAUUGACCUGACACUGACUCAGACGCAAGUUUGAAAUGAAUUUUAACAAAGUUUACUGAUGAAAUGUUUAAAAGUAAUCUGAAAAGACUCAGAGACAGUCACAAGGAUGAAAAUGGGUCCCACUGCAGGAAAUGACCAAAAUACCCUUCUGUAUGACUUUUUGCAAAUUUUGGAAUAAACUGUAGAAAAAGCAAUGUAAUGAUCCAGAGACACUUUUGAAUGACUUACAAGACAAGUAAAGACAUUUUGAAAGGUUUUAUGCAAGAAAAACAUAGGUAAAAUUGUGAUUGAAAAUACUGCGAGGCAGAGACAAAUUGAACUGUGCAGUUGAAAUUUGAUAAUUGACAAAGUUUGAAAUGAAAUUGGGCCCAGUAUUUUUAGGUCCAAAAACAGGGUAUAACACCUCUAAUCCCAACAAAGGAGAUUUAGCUACUCAUUGUCAUGGAAGCCUUGCAAGAAUGAAUUGAAGAAGCAAGAUUCAUUACAACUUGUGAUGUCUCAACAAAGGAUGAAGAAUCCACUCUCUAUCACUCUCACUCUAUAAAGCACAAGCCCUAUCUCUCUCUCUCUAAGAAUAUUACAAGUGAAAAACUAAGAGAAAAACUAUCUAAAAACUAUAUAAAAAACUAUCUUUUUCUGAAAUGGUUGAGUGGGCUAUUUAUAGAAUUCUGAGUCUGCCUUCACUCGCCUCGCGAGCUGCUUCAUUCGCCAAGGCGAGUUGAAGUUUCUUCCCCAUUGGGUUUGUGCCACGUCAGCAUUUAGAGGCUAAACCGCCCUUACUCGCCUCGCGAGUCCUUCCAUUCGCCACGGCGAGUAAGCUCGCCUUCUACUCGCCAUUGCGAGUUGGUGGCGUGUGAUCUUUGUUGCAUUCUGGAAUUGCUCGCCUUUUCUGCUUGCCAUGGCGAGUUGGAGGCGAGUGAUCUCCUUUUUCUGCCUUUUUGUACUUUUCUCGAUUUUCUUCUCUUUGCUUGAUGUCUUGAGUUCGAAUCCUGCACAAAUGGGUGAAGUAAGAUAGAUAAAGCGUAAAAGGGCAAUAAUCACUUAUUUCUCGGCUUUUCCCUUAAUAACUUGCAAAACAAGUAACAAAAGUGCCUAAAAUAUAUCACUUAAAUUACAACUUUCUAGCACUUAUCAAACUCUCCCCAACUUAACUCUUUGUUUGUCCUCAAACAAAAUCUUGAAAAUCAAACAAGUUAAUAUGACAAGACACAAGUACAAAAGGUUUGAAAACAUUUUUAGAUGAAUGAUUCAAAGAGAAUGCGCGGGCAAGUCUGAGUUUCCAACUAAUCUGGAAUUCUACCACAAAUAUGAAAUGAGUUCUAUGCACAAAGUUCAUGUCAAAUAGUUCAAGUCAAUAAAACAUUUAUUCACGAACCACACCUAACACACUUCUUUGUAAGUAGAUAUGCAAUUGAAAUCAAAUGAGUGAGGGUUAUGAACACACAUCCGGCAAUCAAGUUAACAUCCAAAUCAAGUUAUAUGUCCAUCCAAUUAUCAUUUCAAAAAGCAUAAAAACAUGGAUCAAAAGGUCUUUUAGGGUUGUAAUUUGGCUUGGCUACAAAAGAAAGGACAUUUGUGGGUCAAUUGAAUUCAAAUGGUCAAGCAUAAGGGAACAUUCCUUCUAUUCACAUUCAAAAGACAAAUUUACUAGAAUUCCCUAACAAACCCUUGGUGUUAAAACAUGAUACUCCUUGAUCUUGACAACUUAUUCUAUUUUUGGAUUUUUCUUUCUUUUUCUUUUUCUUCUUUUCUUGUUUUUAUCAUGUACACAUUUUUCUUUUUCUUUCUUUUUUCAUAUACAAACAAUGUUGUCUUGAUCAAAAUUUCUGAUUACACCAAUUCACUUGACAAAUGAUGAACAUCUACCUUUUCUCCCCAACUUGAAUGAAAACAUACCCUAUUUGAAUGUUCCCUUAAUCUAUGGCAAAAAGGGACAAAUAACAAUGAAGGUUUAGGGUUCAACAAUUAAAACAUAUCAAGGUCCGAUAGUGCAACAAAAAUGAACUGGAUUUUGAAAAAUAUAGGGCGAAUUCAUCAAGCAUUGUGCUUAUGAAUUGACAGUUCAUAAUUGAGGACCUUGCUUCAUUUGGCUCAAGUGGGUUAACAAAUACUCGCUCUUCUCACAAGGUAGGCUAUUUGUGGUCAAGUAUGUUUCUCUCAUUAAACAAAAUAUGCCUUGAUCCUUUCCAUGUCUUUACACAAUUUAAAACAAAUAUUAGAUUUAACAUAAAAUGACCGAGUUAAAACAAUGAAUGCCGGUCUCCUUGCAUAUAGUACAAAUAUUUGAGGUUUCCUCACUUUUUAGCUAGUACUAAGUGGUUCACAAACAAACACAUUAUCGAGGAGAACUAAAUGAAUUGAAAUUUGUGCAAAGUACUCGUUUCCUAUUCAAGUAAAAACCUAGAAAAACUGGAAACUUGUACCUUGGCUUUGCGCUUUAUCACAAACCAUCUGUUAUUAUCAAUCAUCUGAGAAUUUUGCUCAAGUUUUGGCUCUUUCAAGCGCUUUGAAAUUUGAAGCUUUGAGCAUUUUCUUUUCAAUAAGCAAGAGUGAUAAACUAAAGAAACUUCCACAAUUUUCAAAACAAAGUACUUGAUAUAAACCAAAAGUGCUAAUAUAAAACAACACAAUACAACUUUGAACAAUACGAAUAUGAAUACGAAAAUACCAAAAUAAUUAAACAAAAUGCUAACUAAACAAAGUGAGUCAUUGUGCUAAAUUUAAAAUAUGAACAGAAGCAAAUAUUGUCAGAAGAAAUGAAAGAGAAAGAAAGAAUAGACUGAAAGCUUUAUAAAAAUGUCACUCAAUAAACGGUGAGCUUUCAAAGUCAUUCUUUUCCUCUUUCAACCCUGCAUGUCAUGAUCAUCUGAACCACCAGUUGCACUUGGGACUCUGUCUGGAUCGUCUCUGUCAGAAUCUCCCAUCAAUAUAUCGUCAGAAAGCGUCCCGAACGAUGAUCCACCCCCUCCGUAAGGAUCUGGCCUGCCCUCAGGCCAAGAAACAUGAGCCUGAUAGGCCUCUGGUGUCAUGAAUUGUGACAUCACCUCCGGUGGGUACCCAGCCUGCUGCUGCAUCACAUACUGAGACUGCUGAAGAUAUGUAUUAGCACGGUUGGUUGCGUCCAGCAUGUUCCAUGUAUGGGUAUGGCACUGGUAUUGCCAUUGAGCGAAGCUUGAAAAGUCAAAAGCAGCAGUGUGUGGGUCUAGAUGUGGUGGAAAGUGGGGUUGUGGUUCAGAUGAUGGUUGAGGUCGUGGUGGAGGUGCCCCAGAAGAUGAUGCUUGUUUGCUUUUAUCCUUCUUUGUUUCACCCAUAAUGUAUCGGGUGAUGAAAGCAUCAUUGAUCGGGUUCCGGAUCUUCUCAUGGACACUGGUUGGUAGGCGCAUGCCGGUAUCUUUAAUGAGUCCCAUGAUUAAACCGGGAAAAAAGAGACGAGCUUCUCUUUCACCUCUUCCUUGCAGGGUGACCAUUCGGAGUUCCCAAGCAAUGGUCCGGGCAAUAUCUACCUUGAUCCCCUUGAGGAUGUAGUAGAUUAAAGGACACACCUCGACAACACAAUCAGACAGAUGACUAUUGGGCCUGACAUUAUAAAGAAUGAAUUUUUGGAUAAUUUUGGCCUCAUUGGUCAUGAAUUUGUAUUGGGCCCGAUACUCUCUCCCUGCAUCACUGAUGUCAUAGUUAUAGUCUCCCAACAAGAGAAAUCGUUUGAUUUCUUCAUGGGGGCCCGGGAGGAUAAAGUGGCCAAGGUUUUGCUUCUCAUGAAAGUCAUCAAGGUCGUCUGGGUAGGCUAACUCAAAGGGGUUGCCAAGGUAUGUAUUUAUUGCCUCACGGUCAAACCGGAUAGUUCGACCCCUCACAAAAGUUUCGAAUGUAAAUGGGUCAGUGUGUGGAUUUUCAGGUAGGGCAUUGGCAUAAAACUCACGCACUAACUCGGCAUUAAUAUCUGUUAUGGGUUGAAGGAGUCGUUCCCAUCCUUGAUCGAGUAAAAGUUUGGCAAUUUCUUUAUAGGGUCCCUCGGGAUUAAGGUUAAAGACCCUCUCACACCACAUGGAUUGGUCAAGCAGUUCAAUAUAUCUAUCUUGAUGGUAGCGAGACCUAAAUCUCUCCCUCUCAAAGGCUUGGUUUCUAGGUGGGGGUCGGGUUGCGGAUGUUUCUCCUUUCUUGCGUUUACCAGUGUUAACGGGUUUCUUUGGAGCCAUACCUGCAAACACAACCAGGAAUUCCACAAACACCAAACAGACAAUUAAAUAUCAGUAUGGAACAAAAAAUAUUGCAUGUUCUGUUACCACUCGCCUCGCGAGCAGGUGCACUCGCCAUGGCGAGUAGUUGAAAUUUUCUGGGUUUCAGAUUGCUCACUCGCCUUGGCGAAUGAUGAAGCUCGCCAUGGCGAGUUGCCCAGAAAAUGACAAAAAUCGACCCUUUUUCAAAAUUUCUUUCAGUUUCAACAUUCUUAACCCUAAAUAUAGUAAUUCCGACCCUGAUAAUGACAAAGAGAUGAACUAAAUCAUGCUUUUGAGUUGAAUGUCGAAUUAUACCACAAAAACCCUAAUUUUAAUUUUAUUUUUAAUUUUUACAAAAGGGUUAACAAAAAUGUGGAUUGGAAUCAGAACAACCACGAAUUUGGGCAUGAUUAUGUUUCAUCUGAGUCAUGUAGGUAUCAGUUUGAAGAACAUUACACUAUCUACUACCCUAGGGUUUUUUUUUUUUUUUUUUUUUUUUUUUUUUUUUUGCAUGCAAAUUUGAAAUGAAUGGCAACAAAGUGAAUACAAACCUGAAUCAGAAGUAAUCUAAGUGCAGAAAUGAGUAUGCAAUAAGCUUGACUUGGAUUGACUUGAUAAAUUGGAAAAAGGGUAGUGUUGAGGUGUUAGGGUUUGAGAGAAGGAAGAAAAAAUUUGUGUGGUUGAUGAGAGAGAAAUGCAAAACCGAAAAUGAUGAAUUAAAGUUGGUAAAGGGUGGUUAAGAGAGAUUAAUGAGGGAGUUAGUGGCUUUGAAAACUGAAACUGUCAGAACUGCUGCCAUUCGCCUCGCGAGCAUAUGUAUUCGCCAUGGCGAGCAAUUUGGUGGUCAACGCAGUCAAAGGACAGUUUUACUCGCCAUGGCGACUAGUUGUACUCGCCUCGCGAGUAAUGACAGUUCAGACUUUGCUUUCUUUUGGCUUCUGAUUUGUGAAUGGUUUUGGUAUGCACAUGACUCCUACACCUAGUAUGCAUUAUAAAAAUAAAUAACUUACAAAGUUGGGUUGCCUCCCAACAAGCGCUUGUUUAACGUCGUUAGCUCGACGCCUUUUUCGUUAGGGUGGCCAAAAUGAAACGGACAACACAUCAUCUUUUGUAAUCCUGCGUGUUGGGAGGAAUUCCAUGAAUUUGAAGUAUAAUUGAUGUGGAGUCCAUAUCCUCCCUAACUUUGGUUUAUUGAACAAGGCACAAAUCUCAUCUAUGAUCCGAUCAAUCUCCAACUUGUUCACUUUCUUCCCCUUUCCUUCCAUUGAUUCUUCCUUGAUUAGUAUCCGAUCCUCUUUCUCUGUCACCUCCAUCACUUCUUCAUUUUCAACAGUUUCGACCUCUUCAGUAUAUGGCCGUUCUUGAGGAAAUUCUUCUGGAUGUAGUGGCUCUAAUUCUUCCACCAUUUUCAUUGUGCUACAUUCUUCUAGUAUUAUGUCUUCCUCGGUAUCAUCAACACCUUCUUCAACAAUCUUUCCGACUUCCACAAAUGUAUUUGAAUUAUUUUCUUGUUUUCUGUGAGUGGAUUGAAUGUUGGCUUGAAUAUCCAUGAUUUGUUCUUGCAUUAUUUCCAUCUGCAAGGAUAGAUUCUUCAAUCUCUGAUUGGUAUCCUGCAUGUUUAUCAUGGAUUGCUGCAUGAAGAUAUUCAAAGUAUUUUCCAUCUUUGAUAUUCGUUCAUCUUCAUAGGGAUGUUGUUGAUACUGUUGAUAUGAUUCAUACUCCAAUGGAGUGUAGAAGUUGUUAUAACCAUGAUCAGCCAUGAUUGCAUUUAUGUAGAGAAUCUGAAACGGAUAUAACUAACAAGAAAUUUUUCUUUGUAUGCAAAGAGGGGUUAGUACCAAUAACUAUACAAAAGAAAAUAUAUUUACAGAGUAUUUACUAAUGCUUAAAAUGAUAAAAUAGUCGCGAUGUCUACGAUAUCUAAACGCCAGUCCCCGGCAGCGGCGCCAUUUUGAUGUAGUAUUUUUNNNNNNNNNNNNNNNNNNNNNNNNNNNNNNNNNNNNNNNNNNNNNNNNNNNNNNNNNNNNNNNNNNNNNNNNNNNNNNNNNNNNNNNNNNNNNNNNNNNNUUUUGCAUCAAACAAUUGUAAGUAUUUAUAUCGUCUCCUCAGGGACUAGUGCGAUAUCGCGGACCGUUCGACACCAAAUAUCAUUUCAAGUUAAACGAUAGUUGAUUGUUUGUUUUAGUAACUGAAUUGCAAAUGAUACAAUUGAGAUUAAUAGGGCGUAAAACUUGUUAGGAUUAGAGUUCCUUGAUCGAGCGUCGCACGUAACCUAAUGAUCAUACAUGGAUUCUAGCUUUUCUUUGAUAUUAUCACGUAUCCCUCGACAACACCAUUCGUGUCCAAACAAUAUUGUGAAAUCAAUUGUAUCAUUCAAUGGUCGAUGUCUCAAACUAUUGAAUGAUUCAAGAGUCGAUCUUAUCGUUCAAUCGAUGAUUUCUCAAUCUAUUAAAUGAUAAGAAAGCUUUAGGUUUGGAUACUCAAGGUGAUUAUCAAAACAUCGAUUCCAUGUCUAGAAACUAUGUUUUGAUAGAUGGUUAUUCUAAACCUAGAUUCAAAAGUAUUUCUCAAUCACAAUUAAAUCAAAGAUAAAGAUUAAAGUGCAAGAAUAACCUCAAUAUCAAUUCAAAUGCUAGAACCAUAUAUUUAUAGAUCAAACGAUUACAUGUUAAACUAUGAUCAAGUACCUCUAAUCCCAACAAAGGAGAUUUAGCUACUCAUUGUCAUGGAAGCCUUGCAAGAAUGAAUUGAAGAAGCAAGAUUCAUUACAACUUGUGAUGUCUCAACAAAGGAUGAAGAAUCCACUCUCUAUCACUCUCACUCUAUAAAGCACAAGCCCUAUCUCUCUCUCUCUCUAAGAAUAUUACAAGUGAAAAACUAAGAGAAAAACUAUCUAAAAACUAUAUAAAAAACUAUCUUUUUCUGAAAUGGUUGAGUGGGCUAUUUAUAGAAUUCUGAGUCUGCCUUCACUCGCCUCGCGAGCUGCUUCAUUCGCCAAGGCGAGUUGAAGUUUCUUCCCCAUUGGGUUUGUGCCACGUCAGCAUUUAGAGGCUAAACCGCCCUUACUCGCCUCGCGAGUCCUUCCAUUCGCCACGGCGAGUAAGCUCGCCUUCUACUCGCCAUUGCGAGUUGGUGGCGUGUGAUCUUUGUUGCAUUCUGGAAUUGCUCGCCUUUUCUGCUUGCCAUGGCGAGUUGGAGGCGAGUGAUCUCCUUUUUCUGCCUUUUUGUACUUUUCUCGAUUUUCUUCUCUUUGCUUGAUGUCUUGAGUUCGAAUCCUGCACAAAUGGGUGAAGUAAGAUAGAUAAAGCGUAAAAGGGCAAUAAUCACUUAUUUCUCGGCUUUUCCCUUAAUAACUUGCAAAACAAGUAACAAAAGUGCCUAAAAUAUAUCACUUAAAUUACAACUUUCUAGCACUUAUCAGGGGCAUCUGCAGACCCGGUUCGGUUGACAAGUUUACGGAAGAAGAUGAUUGAGUUAAUGCUAUGGAGCCUGUUAUUUCUGCAAAAGACAAUGAUUUUCUCACAGCUUCGUUUCAGGUCCAGGAAUUUAAGGAUGCAAUGUUUUCUAUGCUUCCGGAUAAAUGUCCAGGUCCAUAUGGUUUUAAUCCUGUAUUUUUUCCAUCAUUUUUGGUCUAUCGGUAGUCUUGAUAUCUUUAAUGAAUGUUUUCUUUAAGAAGCUAAAUUAGCCCACUAAAUUGGCAUUGGAGAGAAUCGAACCUGAGAUCUUGAAGAUCUUUAAUGAAUGUUGCUCGUGGCUUAAUCACAAUCACUUUCUACCUUCACUUAAUUCCACAAAUAUAGCUUUGAUUUCCAAAGGUACUGAUUGGCAGCCUAUAACUUUGUGUAAUGUUCAAUAUAAAUUGGUUGUCAAAGUCCUAGCUAAUAGACAUAAGAGUAUCCUCCAUAAGUGCAUCUAUGACAAUCAACCAACUUUUGUUAUGGGGCGCUCCAUCAUUGACAAUGACAUGAUAGCUAUCGAAGUUGUGCACCAUAUGAAAGUUAGUAAGCGUGUUAGAUAUGAAAAAAAAAUCUCUCAAGCUUGAUACUAGUAAUGCCUAUGAUCGUAUUGACUGGUUAUUGUGGUGUGUAUCGAAGCUGUUGACUAUUCUGUUAUUGUGAACAAUGAUUUGGAAGACCUAUUAUUCCCGGAAGAGGUUUACUUCAAGGAGAACCUUUAUCACCUUAUCUUUUUAUUUUGUGUGUUGAACGAAGAUGGGAUAUCCACGACAUUUCUAUUUACAUAAAUGCACUUGUUAUUUCUCACCUUUUAUUUGUCGAUGAUUGUUUCUUAUUUUUCAGGGCUAAAGAGCGAUAAGCUCUAACCAUGAAAAGUAUUCUUUAGACUUACGAGGUAGCCUCCUGUUAAGCUAUUAGUCUCCCAAAGUUUGAGGUUUAUUAUUGUAGCAGUGUAUCAAAUCCGUUGAAGGAUUCCAUAACCCUCAUCUUAGGAGUUAGAGCUGUUAUGGGAACAGGGAAAUAUCUUGGCUUGCCAUCGAUGGUUCGUCGAAGUAAAGAAGCAACUUUUAGUUUUAUCAAAGACCGUAUUUGGCAUAAAAUCAAUCCAUGGAGAAGAAAGUAUCUAUCCAAAGUGGGUAGAGAGGUAAUGAUCAAGUCAGUGCUUCAAAAUAUUCCAUCUUAUAUUAUGAGUAUCUUUCUUUUUCCAAAUAAGUUAGUCGAAUCCAUGGAAAAAAAAUUAUAAAUUCUUUUUGGUGGGGCCAUGGAUGAUUAAUGAGAAGAGGGAUGCAUUGGUUGUCUUGGGAGAGAUUAUCAAUUCAUAAAAAUUAUGGAGGUAUGGGUUUCAAGGAUCUCACAUCUUUUAAUGUGUCUAUGUUGGGGAAACGAGGUUGGAAGUUCCACACUGAUACAUCGAGUCUUAUUUCCCAUCUUUUUAAGGAGAGAUAUUUUUCUAAUUGUGAUUAUUUGAGUUCUCGAAUUGGUCACAAUCCCAGAUAUGUGCGACGUUGUAUUUUUCGUGUUAAGAUUGUUGUGAAUUAGGGUGCAAGGUGGCAUAAUGAGGGAAUUGCAUUAUCUACUAACAACCCUAUGUAUGCCUCCCUAGCCCAUUUUACGGUGAAAGAUAUUAUUCACCCAUUCAGAAAGGUAUGGAACACUCCUUUAAUUUAUAAUCUCUUGAUCCGAUUACAGCAUGACUCACUGUGAACACACCACUCCAACCUCUUGUCACUGAAGAUAAAUUGAUUAGGAAAGUGGAAAAGAAUGGUAAAUAUUCUGUUCAUAGUGCCUACUGCCUUUGAGUUACAGAAAUUGCAGAUAACUCUCAUUUACUCUGGAGCAAUGGAGUUCCAUGUGAAAGUUAAAGGUUCCUCCUAAGGUAAACAAUUUUUUAUGGCGAGUUUUUAGAGGAUACUUUUCCAACAAGAGCCCAUCUUAGUAGUCAAGGGGUGCGUUGUCCUAUUGAUUGUGUUCCUUGUGGGAAUAAUUUUGACGAUGGUAUCCAUGUCUUAUUGAAAUGUCUUGGUGCUAUCCAAGUAUGGCAUCAUGUUAAUCUUUGGGACAAAAUUAAUAGUACUCUCUGACAAGAUUAUAAUAUGAAUGCUAUGAUUUUUCAUUUUUUGCAUCAAUUUUCUCCAGCUCAGAGUGAGCUGUUUGCCACAAGUGAAUCUUUGCUCCAUUUAGCUAUACUUUAUUUAGUUCAUUUAAGAUUAUGUCUACAAAACAUGUGGCACAAAAAUAUCUACUGGCUGAAAUUGAAAAUAAUACAAAAAACAAGUAAAACAUUGUUCCAUUGUAUUCACGCUCCUCCCUCUUCAUCUACACACAACCGCUGCUCUUCUCCCUUUCUCUCAUAUCGUCAUCAACCACCAUCCAGCCGUCGUCCGUCGCCGACCCUUUGCAUCAAUCGAGUCAUAAGUUCGUGUCGAAUUUCCAGUAUUUGGUCUGUGUGAAGACAAUAACCCCCUUACUGCAUCCUCAUUCUCAUUCCAAUUUCCCAUUCAGAAUUUUAAGGUUUAUCAUCUGAUUCCAAACAUAUCAUUUGACUAAUUCUUAAACAACAACAACAAACAAACAAACAUUGCUAUUGCAGUUUAAUAUUCCAAUUUCAUAUACAUAAUAUCAAAAUUAACAACAUUAACUGACUAAAUAACUAAGAAUGAAUAUUUCUAGGGUUUCAAAAAAAAGAAACAAUAAACAAAAUUAAGAUGAGUAAUGAAUGACCUGAUGCAUUUGUAGGAGCGAAAGUGCAUUUAACGAUUGCAAUUUUAGAAUUGAACAACGGAAAGAACGGAGUCUCAGGAACAAUGAGAGAAGGUGUAGAGGAAGGAAGAUGUUUUUGCUUAUGUGGAGCGGUAGGGUGGGACGACGGUACCCUGGUGGCAACGCCGGCGCUGACGAAAGGGUGAUGGUGGGGCGGCGUUUUUAGGAGAUGAAGGAGUGUGUUGUAUCAUAGGAGGAAGAGCAGAGGCGUGUGUUUAUUUUCCAAUAAACAAGUAUUUUUUUCGAAGCCUUUUAAUCUCAGCCAUUGGUUUUUUAUUUUUCACAUGUCAAACAUCCAUGAAGUGAAUUGGUAUAAAUGGAGGCUCUCUAAAGGAAGCAAAGAUGCACUCGUUAGCCACGAGAAUGUGGAGCUUGUGAAAACGGCGGAGUCUCAAACUAUGGUAGCAACAAAAUGAAACAAAUAUGCAGGUUGUUGAACGUGCUACACAUCUUCUUGAUGAAUGGAGAGCAGCCAAAAAUAUUAGGUCCCGAAUUGCGGCAAAUUCUAGUAAUGAUAAAAACGGGCAUGUGGAGCUUGUGAUAAACAAAUUCUAGUAAUGAUAAACAAAAUGUUAGGUCCGUGAAUUGUAACAUUGAUGCCUCUUUUUUCUAGUCAACGAAUAUGGUUUGUAUAUGCAUAUGUUUGCGAGAUUUUGCAUGUAAUUUGUGAUUGCAAAAAUUGAUUGCUUCUCUCCCCUUUGUCAAGUUGAUAUAGGAGAGGCUUUUGGGAUGUCUACGACUUUAAAUUGGAUAUCAAACUUUCAAUAUGAUAAUGUUGGUUUUGCUUUAGAUUCUAAGAAUGUCGUUGAUCAGUUUAGGUCAGUAAUAGAAGAUAAUAGUGAAUUUGGUUGUAUUAUAUCUGACUGUAAAAACUUGUUCCAUCAUAGGUAUCAGAACUCUCAUGUCGAGUUCAAUAGAAGACAAGCUAAUGAGGUCGUUCACGAGUUAGCUCAGGUAGCCCUAGGUCAUGUUAGCUCCCACAUUUACAAUAACGCAUCGUCAUGUAUUUCGUACAUUAUAGCUAAUGAACAACACUGUAUUUUCUUUCUUAAAAAAAAUUAUUUGGUGCAAAUCAAUAGUACAAAUCAACGAUGUUAGUAUCAAUGAUUUAUUUUUUGUUGAAGAAGUUAGUAUCAAUGAUUUUCAGGUAUAUUUAGAACAAUACAAAAAGUUCUUAAAAAAUGAUUUUUUUUUUUUUAAGAAGUUAUUAUCAAUGAUUUUCAGGUAUAUUUAGAGCAGUACAAAAAAGUCUUAAGAAAAUAUUCUUUUUUCACAUGAAAUGAAUUAAAUAUAAAUAUUUGAAACACAAAAUAGUGUUUUCUGGAUGAGUUUUGGUUUAUCCAUAAAAAAAGGUUUGAGAUUCUCCCAUAUCAUUUGAAGAUUCUUUGUUUUUAGAGCAUACUAACAAAUGACUAUAUAAAUUAGCUUAUAAUUGAUAAAAACAAAAUACAAAUUAGCUUAUGGGACACCUAAAAUCGGAAUUUUUCUAUUAUAAAAAGGGCAGGCCGGUCUCACCAACUAGUGUAUUGUAGCAGUUUUAUCAUAUUUUUACAUAAAAACCGUUUUCAAAAUUUGAGCUUGUGACCUUUCAAUCAUGUUACGUGGCAUUUGAAAAAUAUCUUAAUCAACAUUUUUUCAUAAAUAAUUCAAAAAAAACUAUUUAUUUUUAAAAUUCUUUAUCACAUCCAUCAACAAACUUUGAAUUAAAAAAAAAAAAUCAUCAAUAAACUCAUGAAAAAAACGAAAAAAUUCUACAAAAAAUAAAUAAAUAAAGUCGUUUUUUUAUGACCUAUUAGGGGGUAUUCCAAAAAAAUAAAAUUACAGCGGGUAAAUCAAAAAAAAUAUUUUACAGGGAGGAAAACAAAAAAUGAUCUAUAUUACAGGUAAAGCCAGUGGCAGAUCUUAGUAGAGACCCUUGGGUGCCAUGGCAUCCCCUGGGUUUUCAAUAUAUACCAUAUUAGACAUAUUAUUUUAGUAAGUUUUGAAUUGUCGCAGCAGUAAGCUAGUCUUAUAGUCCCACCAACGGUCGCGAGUGAGUUCGACACUCACGCCAUCUUUUUUGACAUUUUUCUCUCGUAUUUACAUUUUUUAUUCAAAAAAAACCACUAGCAGGGAUUCAAACCUGCAUCCCACUUGGUGCUUUCAAACAAUUUAAACCAUUACAGCAAGUGAUUAUUUUUAUCUACUUUUUGAAACUGGUUUACAUAUAUUUCAUGGUGGUUUGGCACCCCCAAUAAAUUUACUCAAGAUCCGCCACUGGGUAAAGCACCAUUAACCCCAAAAUAAACGAAAAUCUACAUUAACCAAAUUACAACACCACAUCAAAUCUACAUUUGACAAACUCAAAAAAUUCUAGAUAUGAGAUUAAUACAAUAAAAACCUAGAAUCCAAUUCAAGAACUGUUAAAUUUGGUAACAACCUUGUACAUUCCAAAACAACAUUCAAUGAGAAACUCGUCAGUAUCAGGGGUAAAUUCGUCGGUGUCAGGUAUUAUAAAUCUCCCUUUUUGAUUCUGCCCUAUGAAGCAUGCAAAUAUGGCCGUUGAAUCACACCUGAUAUGUUCUGAUACAUUGUCGAUACAUAUUUAAAGAGUGUCCAAAUUUUUUAAUUUAAACUAAAAAAUAAAAAUUUGGAUUCGUCACCGACACGUUGUCGUCAACACGUUUCUAAUAUGCCUUUGAUACAUCUCAUGAUUGUUCAAUUUUCCCCUCCUUAAUUAGAUGAAUGUAAAUUAUAAUAUAUACCCAGUUAAUUUAUUAGAAUUUUUUAAGUUUUCUUUCUUUUUCCCAUAAUUCUCUUACGGUUGCAAAUUGAAAUCACAGCUAACUAAGAGUGCAUAUAAUAUGUCAUACUUACCAAUUGUGAACAAAUCACUAUAGAGGAUAGAGUUCCGAGCUUUAUUUUAAUUUUUAUGUGUAUGUUAAAUGCAUCGUAUUCUAUAUUUUUCAAUGAUUGAUGUCCGUAUUUAUACGUGUGGUAUCUGAUACUCGUAUUAUGUCCAUGAAUAAUAGAUUCAACCAAACAACUAACAACCAUACCUUUAAAAUUCUAUCUUGGGGCACAUGAGAGUGCACCCAAAGCCAUGAUCUAGGCGCAUAAACCAUGCUUUAGGCGCAUGGUGCUGCCUCAUGGGCACAGGUUCUCCGAUUUCCCGUCUUUUUAGGUCUUCGUCUUCAAAUAACUUGCCUCGGAACUUAGGAACAUAAUUCCUCCCACUGUAAAGUCUCAUGAGGUCUCUUGAAUCUUCAUUUUUGGUCUUCCCAAAGUCUUCACAAAUCUUCAGAUGGUCUUGAUUUGUCGAUUUGCAUGAUUUCUUCGUGAAGUACUUCAAAAAACCCCUAAAAUUGUUAUGUUUCGGGAAAACUAGAAUUACAUACUAAAAUAUAGAAAACAUUACAAAAGUCCCGAAAUCAUAUGCAAUCGUUCUAAUACUCCACCUUUUUUGCUGCUAAAAUCUACUAAAAAUGACUGAAAAACAUGCUAAAAAUAACGUAAGAUGACCUGUCAUCAAAAUCAAAACUAACUAAUAGUGCAUAUAAUAUGCCACACUUACAAAUUAUGAACAAACCACUAUAAAGGAUAGAGUUAUGAGUUAUGAGUUUAGUUGGAAGUUCGCCACUUCUAUUAAGCUUGUGUUGUGAUUUCAGUUUAAAAUUUGUAACUAACGUUUACUACUUUAUUUUAAUUUUUAUAUGUAUAUAUUAAAUGUAUUGAAUCCUAUAUUUUCAAUGACUGACGUAUCGAUACGUGUUGUACCUGAUACUCGUAUUGUGUCUGUGAUUAAUAGAUUAGCCAAACGACCAACAACCACAACCUUAAAAUUCUCUCUCCCACCCAUUUUUAGAAACGACCCACAACCAUAGUAUUUUUCUUUGACCUUUUGGAAGCUAGUUUACUAAGUAAUGAAUAAGAUGAGCACCAUACUCCUCAGUUAUUUGUGACACAAGCAAUUGAAGCUUAAUAUAGUUUUAGACUUGGAAGUUUUAUUAUAACUACUGAUGACAUAUCAUCUUUCAAUUUUGAACAAUCCACUAUAAAGGAUAGAGUUCUAAGUUUAGUUGAAAAUUCGCCACUUCUAUUGAGUUUGUGUUGUGAUUUUAGUUUAAAAUUUGUAAUUAAUGUUUACAACUUUGUUUUAGUUUUUACAUGUGUAUGUUAAAUGUAUCGUAUCCUAUAUUUUUCAAUGACUGACAUAUCAAUAUGUGUUGUAUCUGCUACUCGUAUCGUGCCCCGUGAUUAAUAGAUUCAGCCAAACGACCAACAAUCACUGCCUUCAAAUUCUCUCUUCCACCCAUUUUCAGAAACAACCCACGACCAUGGUUUUUGUCUUUGACCUUUUGGAAGCUAGUUUACUAAGUAAUGAAUGAGAUGAGCACCAUACAUAGUCCUCAGUUACUUAUGACACAAGCAAUUGAAGCUUAAUACAGUUUUAGACUUAGAAGUUCUGUUAUAACUACUGAUGACAGACCAUCUUACGUUAUUCUUAGCAUAUUUUUCAGUAAUUUUUAUUUAGUUUUGAUCCGAAAUAGAGGAGUUUUAGAGCUAUUACCUAUGGUUUUGGGGAUAUUUUGUAAUGUUUUCAUUUAUAAUCAUGUAAUUCUAAUUUCUCAAAAACAUAACAAUUCUAAAGUAUUUUGAUGUAAUUCAAAAAGAAAUCAUACAAAUAUAUUUGCUAACAAAAACAAAAGGUGAAUAUUGUUAUAAGAUCAAAUUGAUCUAAAAUUUAAAUUAUUUAAGUUUAUAUAGACAAAUAGUAACCUAACAUACUUAAUCUACUCUAAAAGAAACAUAACAUACUUAUUCUACUAGCUAGUACUACUAUAUUACUCUCUUAGUUUACUAUGUAUACUAUUCAUACAAGACAUUUUAUCAUAUAUGUUUCUAUUAAUAUAAAGAUAAAUAGUAAGAUAAAGAUGUUAGGGUUAAUAGUGUUUUUCACCCCUGUAAUAUAUGUCAUUUUUUGUUUUCGUCCUUAUAAAAUUUUUGGUUUGAUUUGCACCCUCGUAAAAAUUUUAUUUUUCGAAAAACACCCCUAAUAGGCCAUUUUCAGAUUUUUUUUUUUCAAGAAAUUUUGGUUUUUGAAUGGCCUAUUAAGGUUGUUUUUCGGAAAAUAAAAAUUUUACGAGGGUGAAAUCAAACUGAAAAUUUGAUAGGGGCGAAAAAUGAAAAUGACAUAUAUUACAGGGGUGAAAAACACUAUUAACCCAAGAUGUUAUUAGAUUUUUCUUAACAAAAUACUUUUAAAAUAUCUACUCUUAAUUAUCUUUUGUUAAUAUUCCUCUAAUAAAAUAAAUUUUUUUGUAAUUGUCAAAAAUGUGCAUCGCAUGUAAGAAAGUUACACAAACAAACCACUUUUUCAAUAGUCAUAAACAUUUAACCAAAAUCAAUCAUCUUGAUAGGGGGUAGUAUAUGGGACACCACUUGUGUACCAUUAAGGUAUCAAUGUUAUAUAACAUUGACCAAUAAGAGUGUGCCACAUACCAAUGUUACUUUAUAAAUGUUUUAUUUGAUAUAUGUUUUUUAAAGUGUGUGCCACAUGUCACACCUUAAUUGGCUAAUGUUAUAUAACAUAAUGGUACACAAGUGCUAUCCGUAGUAUAUGGCCCUGGCGAAAAGGGGGCCGUCGUAAAAUUCUUAUAAGUUAAUACUCUCUUUUUCGGGGAAAUAUCUUAAUAGCCAAUACUUUUUUUCACAAACACAUGCCAAAAAAACAAUUUCACAAACAAACACGUACAUCACGAGUUUCAAGAUAAUAAGAGAUCAACUUGGAGUUCUAUAUAGUCUUCAACUUCAACAUUGUUACGUACAACCAAACCAUUCAUUGUAGACAUGUCUUUUGCAGUAACAACAACAAUAUUUGCUUUCCUUCUCUUCACUUUCACAUACUUUCUAUUCAAACUAUUCUUGCAUUCAAAACAAAAAACCAUUAUCCAUAAAAAACCACCAUGUCCACCAACACUACCAAUAAUAGGAAAUCUUCACAUAUUAGGCAAACUUCCACAUAGAACACUUCAAUCACUCUCCAAAAAAUAUGGUCCAAUUAUGUCUUUACAACUUGGACAAGUUCCAACAAUUGUCAUUUCAUCUUCAAAAGCAGCAGAAUCAUUCCUCAAAACCCAUGACAUCGUUUUCGCAAACCGACCGAAACUUAUAGGAGCAGAGAUCAUAUCUUAUGGUUGCAAAGGGUUGGCGUUUUCUAAGUACGACCCUUAUUGGCGUAGUGUAAAGAAACUCUGCACUUUGAAACUUCUUAGUGCUUCAAAAGUUGAGAAGUCGGGUCCUAUUAGAACAGAGGAGUUGGGUAUUUUGGUUAACACUUUGAAAAAAGCUUCUUUGGUAGGUGAGGUUGUGAAUGUCAGUGAGAUUGUAGAGAAUGUUAUUGAAGAUAUUGUGUAUAAGAUGAUAUUGGGUAGAGGUAAGUAUGAGCAAUUUGAUUUGAAGAAGUUGGUUCAAGAAGGAUUGGCUUUGAUUGGAGCUUUUAAUCUGGCUGAUUAUGUUCCUUGGCUAGGAAUUUUUGACCUUCAGGUAAGUUUGUCAAAUUAUAUAUAGCUUUUUUAAGCUUAAAUAUGAAAAUGGUCCCUCCAAAUAUUUGGCGUUUGUUUUAGUCCAUAUAAAAAUAUUUUUUUGAUUUUAAUCCCUGCAAAUAUAAAAUAUUUGGUUUUGGUUCUUGGUAUUUUGUUUUAAUCCUUGUAAAAUCAUUUCAUAUUGAAAUUGGUCCCUAUAAUAUUCAUUUUAGUCCUCAUUUUAAGGGACUAAAAUCAAAUAUUCUACAUACUACAAGGACCAAUUCCAAUAUGAAUCAAUUUUACAAGGACUAAAACAAAAUAUCAAAGACCAAAAUCAAAUUUUUUAUAUUUGUAGGGACUAAAAUAAAAAAAAAAUUUACAGGGACUAUAACCAAUCAUAUUUAAGGCCUCUUUUUAAUACAUGGUCAGAUUAAAAAAAUAUAAUUAGAUUUGUAUGAGAAAACGAAAUUAUGAGUCAUUUUAUAAAAUUACCUUUUAUUAAUGAAUGAUAUAGAAAAAAUAAAUUAAAAAAUUUAAAAAAGAUAAAGUAAUAAAUAUUUAAGAAUAUGGAAUAAUUAAUAUGCUAUUGGUUAACGACUAAUAAUUUGAAACAAUUUCCCCUAAAAAAAUUUAUAAUUUAGGCUCUUUUUGUCAAGGUCAAGAACAUAAUUUAUAAAUAAUUUAAAACAAAUUAUGCUCUUUUUGUCAAUUUUCUUAAAUUGUCAUGUUUGAUAACAAUCUUUUUACCAUAAAUUUAUAGCUUAUUUUACUAGCUUAUAACUUAUCUUUCAUAUAGCUUAUAGCGUUUGAAUUUAUAGUGUAUAAUUUAUCAUCUUUUAUUUCAUUGGAUUGAUUAUUAUUUUUUUAUUUUUUAAGGAAACCAUUGGAUUGAAUUAUUUCAGCGACUUAUGUUCCAAUUUGAUUAUUUCUUUUGGCAAUCUUCUAAUUCUAACGAUAACAAACAUAUACUUUUUUCCACUAUAUUUUACUUUGGCUUGUGUAUGUAUUAUAUUAAGAAUUUAAUUCUGUUUUUUUUUUUUUUUUUUUUUUUUUAUCCCUAAUGAUUUUAUUAAAUUUUCUUUUUAAUUUCUGCAAAUCGGAUAUUAUUUUGUUUGUGGGAUAAAAAUAUUAAAUAUUGAUAACAUUUUUAUAAAGAAUUAACAACAUCCUUUGAAGUCAUUUUACAUUUAUCAGCUAGUUAAACCGCGCUACUUUUAUCAAAUACUUCAAUCAGCUUAUAAGUUAUCAGUCAUCAGAUAUCAGCUAUUAGCUAUCAGACAUCAACCAUAAACUAUAAAUUAUAAGUUAACUUUUCAGCUAUUUACUAUUUUUAUCAAACAAAACCUAAAAAAGAGGGAGUAUUAUGUAUAAGAAAUAAAAGAUUAAUCAUUGACUUUAGUUUUAUUUUAAGUCUCAUAAACAAAUUUCCUCAAAAAAAAAAGUCUCAUAAAUAAAUAUCGUGAUUGUAUAUAAUUUUGGUCACUCAAACGUGGUAUUGCACUGUAUUUAUCCUUUACACUGUGUUUGGUUGAGGUGAAAUAGGAAAGAGAAAGAGCAGGCAGAGAAAAAGGUGAGAAGUUCAAAACUUCUCCUGUUUGGUUAGAAAAAGAAAGAGAGAUAAAAACAUGUGGAACCCACAUCUCCUUUUUUUUUUUUGGUAGAUAACCCACCUCUCCUUUUAGUCUCUCCAAAGUAGUGAAGAAACAAAGAAGAAACCCACUUUUUAUUUUUUAUUCCACUAAUGCCCUUGUGAAAUUGUUGCAAGUUUGCAACACGGCACGGACAAAACGGAAGCAUUGGUGUGAUUAGUGAUAAAUUGAUAAUGUGUCCCUUGCCUAAUAUACAGUGAGUAAGCAAACUUUUUAAAUGUACUUAAUAAUUGAUUGAUUGAAUUACAUAAAAACUAUAAUCUGUUUAACUUAAUUCAGUUAAACUAAUUAGUUUAAUUUACCACAAAAAAAAAAAAUUUAAUUGAUAUAAAGUUUAAAUAAAUAAUUUAAUUAAUUAGAAUAAAUUUGAAUAAAAGAUUAAAUAAUUUAAUUUUGACAAAGAUUAAAUAAUUUAAUAGAUUUUUUUAUUGUAGGGGUAUCUUUGUACUUUUAUAAAUAAUCAACACUUCUCUCUCUUCUAUCUCUCUUUUCUCCCUUUUAUGCCAAACAACACAUCAAAUCUACUUCAUUUCUCACAUAUCUCUCUCUCUCUCUCUCUUCACAACUUCUCUUCCAAACUAAACAAACCCUUUAGUGUUUUUCUUCUAGUUCAAUAAAUAAAAGGCUUAAACGCACUUUUAACCCUCUAAGUUUGCAAAAGUUGUAAUUUUGGCACCCUAUUAAAAAAAUGGCAAAAGUGACCCCCCAUGUUUAUCCCAUUUUGCAAAACCUCAAUUUUGACUUAGUCAAAUUUAUGUGUCACGCCACAUCAGUUAAAAAAUCGCUACGUGUCUACUUUUUGAAUUUAAAAUAAAUGUAAAUACCACAAGUGUAUAUGUAGAAUUAAAAUAAUAAAAAAGAAUAAAAAAAUAAAAGGAAAGAAUUAAGGAGAGAAGCGCUUGGUUUUCUUCUCUUCUUCCUCUGUAACAUCAAACUCGGGUAAGAAAGGAAAAUUAAACCCAGAAAGCAACGUGAGUCUUCAUAUCUUCAUCUCCAUACUUCAUAGCAAUCUUCAUAUCUUCUAAUCCAACCCAGAAAGAAAGAAAAAAAAAAACGAAUCCUUCAUUUAUUAAUUGGAAAACUAAACAUGCAUACACUUUAACUCUCAUUUCUUUAGGACAGUAUCAAUAGUGAUGAUAAAAUAAAACCGUAGGUCUGUUGAAAAAUAGUGUAUUAGGUCAAAAUCACCCAAUUUCAUCUCCAACUAUACCUCCAGCACCAAUUUAUUAUCCAAGUGAAGAUGAAUUCAAAGAUCCAUUAGAAUUUAUUCACAAAAUCAGACACGAAGCCGUACCGUAUGGAAAUUGAUUUGGAGUUUUCAAAUUUUGAUUUUGAGAGAAAAAAUAGCCCAUUUUUUUUUAAUUUCCAAAAUUUUAAUUCACGUGCUCUUUUCUUCAAAAAACAUCACGUGCUCUUAUGUUUUUUUUUUGCUUUUUGAUUUAUAUUUAAUUUCAUUAAUUUAUAUCUGGCUUUUUUAUUUAAUUUUUAAUUGGAAAAAACACAUGUGGUGUGCCAUGUAGGCUUGAUCAAAUCAAAAUUAACGUUUUGCAAAAAGAGAUAAACAUGGGGUCACUUUUACCAUUUUUUUUAAUGGGGGUCAAAAUUACAACUUUUGCAAACUUAGGGAGUAAAUAGUACGUUUAAGCCUAAAUAAAAUGAUUACCUAAUUUUCAAACUCAACUGCCCUUCACUUGUAGUUAAGGUAUUCUGAUGAUUUUAGUUACAAAUACCUUAAAUACCAAGUGAUGGUUUGAAAUUGGGGGCUAAAUUUCACAAUCUCAAUAUUUGAGGUACUACGUAGGAGAAAUUUUGAAAAAAAUCAGACGACCCCUUCUUUGCACAAUGGAAAAAUAUUAAGGUCAUGAUAAUUUAUUUUUGAUAAUUUUUUGGUGAUGUAAUUUUCAUUUUGUGGUGUUUAAUCUUUAAUAAUGAAAGGUUGCGUUAACUUUUAAGUGGUUGAAGGUGAAGUUUCCUUUUCUUCCCUUCAAUUAUCAUGGUUGGUGGCUUAAUCCGUUUACUGUUUUAGGCAUUGGCUAUUUUCUGUUCUUUUUGGCUUGUUUUCUGGUGUUGGCUCUUGUCUUGUAUAUAUGUUUUGUUCUUUUGUUGUAACUUGCUGGGUUUUUAUUCAUUUGUACAUCUUGUGCUAGGAAGACCCUCGUGGUGUUAAUAUAUUUCAUUAAUUUUAGUUUCUUCAAAAAAAUAAUGAGAGGUUGCCAUAAUUUAGAAACCAAAUUGAAUCAAGUUUUAAAUAUUUUAAAUUUCCUUAAAUAUAUUGUUAUCAAUUUUUCAAGCCCAGUUUAGUUAGUAAGAUGCUUCAACUAUAUUCAUAGGGCUUCGAGUUCUAGUUAUGAAGGGGGAAAAUGGAGAACAUUGAUACUCUUUUAAAAAAACUUGCUCUAAUGAUUUUGUUAAGUACAAUGAAAAUAUUUAUUUAGUAAUUGAUAUUUUAUGUUUAACUCAUUGUUAGGGAUUAACAAAAUCUUGCAAGAAAGUUAGUAAAGCAAUUGAUGAGCAGCUAGAGGUGAUAUUAACAGAACAUGAACAAGCUGCUAAUGUAAACAAAACUCAUCAUAAAGAUUUUGUAGACAUACUUCUUUCAAUUAUGCACCAAACCAUUGAUGUCGAGGGUGAACAAAAUCUCGUCAUUGAUCGAACUAACAUCAAGGCUAUUUUGCUCGACAUGAUAGUGGCAGCAAUCGAUACAUCUGCUACCUCGAUUGAAUGGGCUUUAUCUGAACUUUUAAGACAUCCAAGAGUGAUGAAAAAGCUUCAAGAUGAGAUACAAAAUGAAGUAGGAAAUAAAAGAAAGAUUGAGGAGAAAGAUAUGAAGAAGUUGAAUUAUUUAGAUAUGGUGGUUGAUGAGACCUUAAGACUUUACCCUGUUGCACCAUUACUAGUCCCUCGUGAGUCUAGAGAGAGCACAAUAAUUGAUGGUUAUUUUAUAAAGGAAAAGACACGACUUAUAGUAAAUGCAUGGGCAAUAGGGAGAGAUCCUAAUGUUUGGUCAGAAAAUGCCGAAGAAUUUUAUCCAGAGAGAUUUAUUGAGAAAAACUGAAUUAUCUCGGACAAGAGUUUGAAUCUAUACCAUUUGGUUCUAGUCGUAGGCGUUGUCCUGGAAUUCAAUUGGGUUUAAUUACGAUUAAGUUGGUUAUAGCUCAAUUUGUGCAUUGCUUUAAUUGGGAACUUCCACAUAAUAUUAGUUCUUCUAGUUUGAAUAUGGAGGAAAAAUUUGGACUCACUAUACCAAGAACUCAACAUUUGCAUGCAAUACCAAGUUAUCGUUUGGAUGAUGCUAAACAUGAAUAGUUCUAAGUACAAUACUAUGUUGUGUUCAACAAGUUAAUUGCUAGUAAAAAUGCCAAGUAUGGUAGCUUAGUCCACUAAAGCUCUUGCAAACGGAAAGUUCGGAAAGGGGGUCUAACCAAUUAGUGUAUUAUAACGACCUUGGUACUUUCCAAAACAACAUUUAAUGAAGAAUCGGUUCCAGAAUCAGACAUGUGAGUUCAAUUGCACGAGAGGGGUGAAUUCGCCAAUGCCGGAAUUAGAAAUCUCCCUAAUUGAUUCAGCCCUAUGAAGCAUUCAAAAUUACCGUUAAAUCUCACCUGAUAUGCUCUCGUCCAUACGUAUCGAAGAAGUAUCCAAAUUUUUUAAUUAAAAAUAAAAAAUAAUUUUUUUUAACACGUCACAUAUACGUUGCGAUACGCUGCCAACACGUCUCUGAUACAUCUCAUGAUUGUUCAGUUUUUAGUUUUCCCCUAAUUACAUUCUAUCUUUACUAUGAUUAUGAUUGAUGCAUGUCAAUUAUAAUGUGGCAAAUUCUAUGGUACAUCCAAAAAUAUGAGUGUAUCGUUACAUCAAAUCGUUAAAUCAAUAAUUAAAUGAGUUGUUUUUUGAUUUUUUUAUUAUCAUUGAUAAUUAUAAUAAUUAAAUCUUAUUGAACAAAAACUUCGACGAAAUAAAAAAAAAUUGAAUUUUUAUUACUCAUAAUAAAGAAUAUUGAUGAUUUUUUAUGAGAAAAUGUUAAAAAUUUAAUAUGAUUCUUAUAAACAAUGAAAUGAUGUUUUUUCUUACGAAAUGAUGUUUUCUAAAAUAUAAAUAUGGACAAAUAUUUUUUUUAUUUCAUAAAAUGAUCGUUAAUUUAUAAAUUUAUAGAGCAAGAGUACCGGUAAACCUUAAUUUGUGAUGUGUACCGUAGAAGUUCCCUUAUAAUGUACCCAUUUAAUUUAUUAGAAUUUUCUAAGUUUUCUUUCUUUUUUCCAUAAUUAUUUUACGGUUGCAAAUUGAAAUCACAGCUAACUAAGAGUGCAUGUAAUAUGCCAAACUUACCAAUUCUAAACAAACAACUAUAGAGGAUAGAGUUCUGAGUUUAGUUUGAAAUUCAUCGCUUCGAUUGAGUUUGUGUUGUGAAUUUAGUUUAAAUUUUUUAACUAAUAUUUAUAACUUUAUUUUAAUUUUUAUAUUUGUAUGUUAAUUAAAUAUAUCAUAUCUUAUAUUUUUCAAUGACUGAAGUAUCGAUUUGUGUCGUAUCGGAUGCUCAUAUUGUGUCCAUGAUUAAUAGAUUCAACCAAACGACCAAUAACCAUACCCUUCAAAUUCUCUCUCCUACCGAGUUUUAAUUGAUGUUUACAACUUUAUUUUAAUUUUUAUAUGUGUAUGUUAAUUUUAUCGUAUCCUAUAUUUUUAAAUGACUGACAUAUCGAUACCCUUAAAAUUUUCUCUCCCACCCAUUUUUAGAAACAACCCACAACCAUGGUUUAUUGUCUUUAUCCUUUUGGAAGAAGUAUUUGUUAAAGCAUAUCACAAAAGAAAUGGAAGCAAGUUUUCUAAGUAAAGAUGAAGAUGUGCACCAUAGUCCUCCAUUACUUGCGACAAAAGCAAUUGAAGCUUAAGACAGUUUUAGACUUAGAAAUCAUGUUAUGACUACUUUGCUCAUGUUUAGGAAAGUUAGUUAUGAUACAGUGAGGUGAAGAUCACAGUAGUUUAUGCUGAUCUAUCACUGAAAUACCAUAAGUACAUGUAAUUGCUUCUAUUACAAGUUAAUGUGAAAUAAUGGUUCAUUGAACCAAUUCUUGAUUCUUUUAUUUGUUUUUAUCUCAUUUUUUUAUCAAUCUUUUGUUAUCUCAACAUUAUUUGUCUCGUGUGUUUGUAAGAGAACCCAUGGUGGCUGGUUUAUUACACGCUUGGAGGAGAAGGAGGUAGAAGGGGCAAUCCGCGCGCGUGUUUUUUUAGGGUUCUAGGUAGAAGUUGAUUUUUAAUUGAAGAAGCUUGAUAAAAUUGGUGUUUUAGAGUUUCCUAAGAAGAGGAGUGUAGCAGAAGUAACAAAAUUGAAAAGGGAGGAAGAUUAAAUCACCAAUGUAGCAUAUUUGUGUUUGUUGUUUUUUUUUUCUUUUUGCAUAAACAUGGCAAACAAAGACGAAGAAGAAAAAAAUACACAGGACAGAAGAAGAUUUUGGAAAUUGUUUUUAUUAAUGUUGUGAUGAAGAUUUAUGUAUGAAGAUUAAAAGAAAAGCAACAGUGAUCUGGGUUUCUCUUUAAACAUUCUAGAAAAAGGGGUUUUAAAUAAUUUUAUGUUUUUAAAAUUAAUGACUUUUUUUCUGCAGGAUUAAAAUUAAUGACUUGGUAACCAAUAUUCAUGUGGAAGUUUUUUUUUUUUUAAAGAAAUAUAAAUACACACUCAACUACGUAAUCCAUUGUACACAAUCAAAAAAUCUUAAAAUGGAAGAGGAAUCUCAAACUUUUCUUUUUUAAACCAAAAUUCGCUCGUGUAAACAUUAUUUGACCCUAAAAAUAAUGAAUAUUUAGACUUAAAUAUGCAAUUUAACCUUAGUUUUUUUUUUCGUCAUUCGAGUUUUUUUUUAUAAGCAAGAGAGAGGACAGGCAUCAAGAGACAUCAUCGACAUCCCAACUAGGUUGGCAUCUCAAGAGACCUCCAUCGUAUGCCGCCAAACUCAAAAGAUUUUAUUAAAAAAGGGGGAAAAAUAAUUACAAAAGGAGGGUGGACAAGACCAAAACUCUCAAAAUGAACGGAAAAGAAAAGCAACAGUGGAAACAACAAAACAGUCCAAAGAACAGAUCAAAGAAAUCUGUAAUUAGGAAAUCCACAAUAAAAAUUAGAAUUUGUGACAUAUAUAAAUUUUUAAAGCAAUCCAAGUAUCAAAGUUAUUGAUACCUCUAACAUUCCAAUGUGUGCCAAAUAUUGUAUUCAAAAAUUGUGAUCAACCAAUACUUUUUCAACAAGGAAUAGAUAAAUGGAGCACUCCUUGGUGGUAUGGUGACAUAUGUUGUAGCUUCUCUGUCCACAGAAAAACGUGUACACCAACUUGGAGUUCUUGAUAUCUUCAACCUCGUUACUUCAGCCAAACCAAAUCAUUCAUUGUGGUCAUGUCUUUUGCAGCAACAACUAUGCUCUAUUUCCUUCUCUUCACUUUCAUAUACCUUUUAUUCAAACUCUUCUUACAUCCAAAACAAAAUACCAUUAACCAUAAAAAGCCACCAGGUCCACCAACACUACCAAUAAUAGGAAACCUUCACAUGUUAGGUAAACUUCCACAUAGAACACUUCAAUCACUCUCCAAAAGAUAUGGUCCAAUCAUGUCCUUACAACUUGGUCAAGUUCCAACAAUUGUUAUUUCAUCUUCAAAAGGAGCAGAAUCAUUCCUCAAAACCCAUGACAUCGUUUUCGCAAGCCGACCGAAGAUUCAAGGAUCAGAGCUCAUGUCCUAUGGUUCUAAAGGGUUGCCUUUUUCUGAGUAUGGUCCUUAUUGGCGCAGUAUGAGGAAAUUUUGCACUUUGAAACUUCUUAGUGCUUCAAAAGUUGAGAAGUCGGGUCCUAUUAGAAAAGAGGAGUUGGGUGUUUUGGUUAACACUUUGAAGAAAGCUUCUUUGGUAGGUGAGGUUGUGAAUGUUAGUGAGAUUGUCGAGAAUCUUAUUGAGGAUAUUGUGUAUAAGAUGAUAUUGGGUAGAGGUAAGUAUGAGCAAUUUGACUUGAAGAAGAUGAUUAAAGAUGGAUUAACUUUGAUGGGAGCUUUUAAUCUGGCUGAUUAUGUUCCUUGGCUAGGCAUUUUUGACCUUCAGGUACAUUUGUACUAUUUAUUACUACUAUCUCGUUAAAUAUAAGAUCAUUUUGUGUUUUUUCUGUCGCUUUUUAUAAGAACCCUUUCAAAUUUUAAUGUAGAUUAAUUAUUUCUUUAUCAAUAUAUCCUUAUUUAUGUUGCAUAUUUUUAUACAAUAUAUAAUAAAUAUUCUACGAAAACAUCAGCUAAUUUCUUUCAUAAAGGAUAAAUAUGUAAAACAAUAUAAAUUGUAAACAAAAUUAAUUCAACAAUUAAUUUUCUUAAUUCCUGUGUUUUUCACGAAAUGGUUCUAUAAUUAAGGACGGAGGUAGUAUUUAUAAGAAAGAAAGAUAUUGAAUAUUAACAUACAUUUAUUUUAGUCUGAUGAUUUUGGCUUGGGAUCCGGGAGUAUGCACCUCCUCGAGGUCUCAGGUUCGACUCUCUCUGAUGCCAAUUUAAGUGGGUUAAUUUAACUUCUUCAAAAAAACAUAUGUUUAUUUUUAACACACUUAGAUUGGCCUGAUGGUAUUGGCUUGAGAUCCGGAAGUGUGCUGUUUCAUAAAUAGAGUGUUCUUCAAAACAAAACAAAAAACUCAUAAAUAGAGUGAUUGAGUGAUUUUGGUCACUCAAUAUUUAAUAGUUCGGUAUUGGUCCUUUAGUGUUUUUCCCUCUAUGGCUUUAAAAGGGUUACCUGAUUUUAUCUCAAUUGCCCUUCACUUUUAUAUAUGAAAUUGGAAACUGGGUCAAAUUUCACAAUAUCAAAAUAUUUUAGGUACUAGAAGUAAGAGAAAUUUGAAAACAAGUUAGAUAAUCCCUUUACUAUACACAAGGGAAAAUUGAAUUAACUCUACAAAAAAAAUGAGUUAACUCUUAAAUAUUUUCCAUUCGGUUAAAUAUUUCAGUUAUCCAUUUCAUCCUCAAUUUACUUAUGUUUUUACGGUUUUGUUAAUAACAACAAUCAAGUCUUAUCCGACUGAGUAAGAUCAACUAUAUAGAUCAAAUUACCCCAUAAUAGGUUAUCAUAAACGUGGGUUUGUUAAGUUCAAUGAAAAUAUUCAUGUAGUAACUGAUAUUAUUAGUUAACUUUUUGAUAGGGAUUAACACAAGCUUGCAAAAAAACCAGUAAAGCUCUUGAUGAAGUUUUGGAGAUGAUAAUAACAGAGCAUGAACAAACUACUAAUACAGACGAUCCUAAAGAUUUUGUAGACACAGUUCUUUCAAUUAUGCACCAAACCAUUGAUGUUGAGGGUGGACAAGAUCUCGUCAUUGAUCGAACGAUCAUCAAGGCUAUUUUGCUCGACAUGAUAGGGGCAUCAAUUGAUACAUCUUCAAACGUGAUAGAGUGGGCUUUAUCUGAACUUUUAAGGCAUCCAAGAGUGAUGAAAAUUCUUCAAGAUGAAAUACAAAAUGAAGUAGGAAAUAAGAGAAUGGUUGAAGAAAAGGAUUUGAAGAAUUUUAAUUACCUAGAUAUGGUGGUUGAUGAAACCUUAAGACUUUAUCCUGUUGCACCUUUAUUAAUCCCUCGUGAAUGUAGAGAGAACAUAACAAUUGAUGAUUAUUCUAUAAAAGAAAAGACACGAGUUAUAGUAAAUGCAUGGGCAAUUGGGAGAGAUCCUGAUGUUUGGUCAGAAAAUGCUGAAGAAUUUUACCCAGAGAGAUUUAUUGAGAAAAAAAUGAAUUAUCUCGGACAAGAGUUUGAAUCUAUACCAUUUGGUUCUGGUCGUAGACGUUGUCCUGGAAUUCAAUUGGGUAUGAUUACGGUUAAGUUGGUUAUAGCUCAAUUCGUGCAUUGCUUUAACUGGGAACUUCCACAUAAUAUUAGUCCUUCCAAUUUGAAUAUGGAGGAGAAAUUUGGACUCACUAUACCAAGAGCUCAGCAUUUGCACGCAAUACCAAGUUAUCGUUUGGAUGAUGCUAAGCUUGAAUAGUUCCAAGAAUAAUUACUAUGUUCGUGUUCAUCAAGUAUAUAAUUGGUAAAGAUGCUUAGGAGGUCUAUUAAUGAUGUUUUAAUGUAUAUUGCUUGUUCUUUAUAUAUGUUUGAUAGCCAACAUUUGAGUCUUCAUUGGGACAUGGAGGUCAAUAAAAUCACAUACCUUCAUGAUCAAUGGUAUGGUGCAAGUCUAUAGUACAAAUCUCCUUCAUCUCUACCCUAUCUCUUUCUUUUACUCAGUAUUUGUUUCAAUUCUCUGUUAUUAUUAUUACUAGGGUUGUUCGCGGUGCGGUUUGGUUCGGUUUCAAGCAUAAUAAUAAUCCAAACCGCGAGAGAAAAAAGCAUGCGGUUUGGUUUGGUUCGGUUGUUUUUUAAAAAGUCAUCCAAACCAAACCAAUGCGGUUUGGAUUGGUUCAGUUGAUGCGGUUAAUCACGAGAUAAAUAAAAAAAUUACAUUAACUUAAUAUUGCCAACUAGUACCAAGCAAUUUUAAUUAUUCAAAAAAAGAAUUUGAAGUUCCAAAAUAGCAUUACAAUACCAAUAAAAGUUAUUUAUCUAAAAUAACAUUACAGAACCAAAAUAAUAGCUGGAUAGUGUUGGGCUUGGACUUGGGUUCACUUUGGUAUUGGGCUAGUACAAUACUUACUUAGUUUAAUAACAUUGAGUAUUUUUGCGGUUUGGUUUGGUUUGGUUCGGUUGCUGAGAUGUAAACCGCAAACCGAACCGAACCGCGCGGUUCAGUCUAAAAAUCAUCCGAACUCAUCCGAACCAAGUGCGGUUUUUUGCGGUUUCAGUUUGGGUUGGUUCGGUUUGCGGUUUUUCUAUUGGGUUGGUUCGGUUUUGAACACCCCUAAUUAUUACUGAUUUUAAAAUUGGUAUGGCACACUUUAGAAAUGAGGUAGACCUGAAGUUCUAAAGUUUUUUUAACACAACAUAUCACACAUGACAACUUAAUAACUAGAAUACUGCUCCAUUAAGAUUGGAGAACAACAUAUAAAAGAUGUAAAUACUUAUUAUUCCUCUAUGGUUUUCCACAAUGUACAUGUAUAAUAUACUGCACAUUAACUAUUAUUUGAUUCAAAAAGUAUUAAAGUAUGUUUAUAUUUUUAUUUGUAUUAUGUAUUGAUAUCAAAAUAAUGAAUAUCAUUCAAAAAAAAAAAAAAAAUCAAAAUAAUGAAUAUGGGUGGCAUUUAGGGUGGGAAGGGGAAAGAUUUUCCCACCAUAGGUCAGUUGACAUUUUACCGUUAAAUUAAAAAGGAAUACUGAUUUUAUUAUGGACUGUCUACACCCUAUCUUUUCCCACCCACCUUUCUCUCUCCUCCUUGCUCUCCACCACCCGCAACAUCACCUACAGCCACUAUCACCACCGGUUCCUUCCAUUCUCGUCCAAAGCAAGCUUCAGAUCCGACGCACCUAGCUCAAUCUCUCUUUUCCAGUUUCUCUUAAUCAUUCAAUCGCCCCAUUUAUAUCCCCCCUUCGUAAAAAAUUCCAUGAUGUGAUAAUCCAAAUAUGGGCUAUAAUAUUACUGUAAUAUUUAUUGUUUGCUACUUAAUUUUAGUUCAAUGGGUCACUACAUAUAUAUUAAUUAUCGAUUCUUACAGGUUUGAUUGAAGCCUAUGAAGAUUGAUUUUUAACUUUUUUUAGAUUGCAACUCAUGAAGAUUGAUUUUGAUAAUUGGUUCCAUAAAAAGCAUGUUUCUUAAUUGUAAGCACGUGAAGAUUUUUGGGUUGUAGUUUCAUGGUGGCUGGUGGUGGUGGGUGAGUGGGGGUAUGGAGGAGAGAGAAGAAUGGUGAGGUGAGUGAGGUUGGAGACAGAUUGAAAAAAUAUAGUGUGGGUAGACCAUAGUAUGAUUAGUGUUCCUAUUUGAUCUAAUGGUCAAAAUCAACUUUUUUAUGGUAGGAAACUCUUUCCCUUACCCACCCUAAAUGCCACCAUGAAUAUGAGAGAGUUUUGUGUAACUUUUUUGCAUGUGUUGUUUUCUGACUCUAGAUUUGGAUAACAAAACAAUCAAGUCUUUUGUUCUCUUUCUCUAUUAUAGAUCUACUUUCUCUCUCUCUCUAUGAUUCCCGUGCUAUACUAGAUCUGACAACUGAACUCUUGCGACUCAAUAAUUUCUUUCUUCAAUAUGAACUUUAAGACCAAAUUUAGUUUCUAAAUCUUAAAAAAUUUAAUCAUAAACAAUAACAUUUUAGUACAUAAAUUAAUUUCCAAAACCUGAUCUUUCUCCUGUAGACCAAAUAUAUUGUCUAUCCUGUUUCAUGUUUGUAAAUUGUAACAAGUUAAUUUUUUUUUUUUUAAGUUGUAACAUUCUAGUCAAAUACCUCACUGGAUCUUCUAAGUUUUACGUUUGUUUCAGAUAGGUCCUUUAAGUUUUUAAGGUUUUAGAUAUGUCAUUUAAGUUUCGAGUUUGUUUCAGAUAUGUCUUUUAAGUUUCUAAGGUUUCAGAUAGGUCCUUUAAAUUUCGAAUUUAUUUCAGAUAGAUCAUUUCUAUCGAAUCAACUUUAAAAAAUUAACUUAUUAUAAACAACCAACUUAAAAAUCGCUAGAAGUAUUUGACCUUUCCAUAACCAAAAUCUAAAAAACAAAUGUGGUAUUUUUCCUAUAAGACCACUUUCAAAAUCACUCAUGCUGCUGUAUUACUCGAGAUAAGAUUUAAAUUGCAAAUGUAAAUAUUAAAAAGAGGGUUAAUUAAAUUUUUAGUCCCUUUUUUUUUUUUAAAAAAAAAAAAGAAUUUUUAGUCUCUAUAAAUAUUCACAGUUUUGUUUUUAGUCUAUACAAAAUAAAAUCACACUUUUUAGUCAAUGUGACAUUUUAAGGACUAAAAAUGCUGAUGAAAUUUUUUUAUAUAGACGAAAAAUGCUAAUGAAAAAUUUUAUAGAGACUAAAAAUAUUGAUGGAAAAUUUUAUAGGGACUAAAAAAUGUGAUUUUACUUUGUAGGGACUAAAAACAAAAUUAUGAAUAUUUAUAAGGACCAUUUACUUAUUAACCCUUAAAAAGAUGAAUGUUAUUUGAACAACCGUUUGGUUGACAACUUUUGGAACAACUAUAAUUUACAAAGAAAAAGUAGGUAUGUGAACGAAAACCAUAGUAGAAAGAUAAAGUAAAGAAUAACGUAAGUAUGAUUGAGAAAGUUGUCAAAAAAAUUAUUAAAAAAUGGAUGUUCUAAUAUCAUUCCUCUAUUAAAAAACGUUACUAUUUGAUCACAUUAUUAGUAAGUUAUCUUGCUCAGCUAGUAAAUUAUUAUACCGAUGGAGUUUUCACGGUGAAUCAAAUUACACAGUGCUUUGAAAACGAGGAGGAUAACAUCCUUCUUUUACUUUUUAAAUUGACAAGCAUGCACAACGAGAUGGAUAAAAGAAUAUUAAAAUAAUGGUAAAUCAUAUCCAACGUGUGCAUGUACAUUGUCGGUUGUAACAAAUCGACGUUCAUAAAAUGUACGUGCAUAGUUGAUCAUUUAAAAAAAAAAAAAUAUUUGAAUGAUGUUUUUCAUAUUUGCAAUUAGGUGUCAUUUAAAAAUUAGUUCAUAUAAUUGCUAAUCCUGACAAUUUACAUUUGCAUUAUUUAAUCAUUUAAAAUUUUAUCUUUUGACCAACUUAAUCACAAAUUAGCAAAAUGAUACGGAAAUGGACAAAUAUACCCUCGUCGUUAUUAUGAGAAGAAGACUAAGACAAGGGUAGAAAUACAUAAAUAUCUCCAUAAAUAUCUCACUAGCUAGAUAUACAAACCAAACACGUACACCACCGGUUUCAAGAUAAUCUGAGAUUAACUUGGAGUUCUAUAUAGUCUUCAACCUUGUUACGUACUUCAGCCAAACCAAAGCAUUCAUUGUAGACAUGUCUUUUGCACUAACAACAACAAUGUUUGCUUUUCUUCUCUUCACUUUCAUGUACUUUCUAUUCAAACUCUACUUACAUCCAAAACAAAAAACCCUAAACCAUAAAAAACCACCAGGUCCAUCAACACUACCAAUAAUUGGAAAUCUUCACAUAUUAGGCAAACUUCCACAUAGAACACUUCAAUCACUCUCCAAAAAAUAUGGUCCAAUCAUGUCCUUACAACUUGGUCAAGUUCCAACUAUUAUCAUUUCAUCUUCAAAAGCUGCAGAAUCAUUCCUCAAAACUCAUGACAUCGUUUUUGCAAGUCGACCAAAGGUUCAAGGAUCAGAUCUCAUGUCUUAUGGUUCCAAAGGGAUGGCUUUUUCUGAGUAUGGUCCUUAUUGGCGUAGUGUGAGGAAAUUUUGCACUUUGAAACUUUUUAGUGCUUCAAAAGUUGAGAUGUUUGGUCCUAUUAGGAAGGAGAAGUUGGAUGUUUUGGUUAUAUCUUUGGAGAAAGCUGCCUUGGAGGGUGAGGUUGUGAAUGUUAGUGAGGUUGUAGAGAAUCUUAUUGAGGAUAUUGUGUAUAAGAUGAUGUUUGGUCGGAGUAAGUAUGAGCAAUUUGACAUGAAUAAGUUAGUUCUAGAAGCAAUGGCUUUGAUGGGAGCUUUUAAUCUGGCUGAUUAUGUACCUUGGCUAGGCGUUUUUGACCUUCAGGUACGUCUUGACAAUUUCAUAUUAAAAAUUCUAAUUAAUUUUAUGAGAUUAUUUGAUUAUAUGGAAAAGAGGUUAACAUUGGCGCAACUGAUAAAUUUGUUGUCAUGUGACUGAAAGGUCAUAGAUUCAAGUCCGGAAAACAACCUCUUAUAUAAACAACAGGGUAAGGCUGUGUACAUUACACUAAAUGGUGGGACCCCUUCCCGGGGCCUAUGUAUGCGGGAGCUUUAGUGCACCGGGUUGCCUUUUAUUUGAUGAUAUGGAAAAAAGAAAAAUAUUUAUAGUUUAUUGAUAUUUAAUUGGUGGUUAAGACUUGAGAGUAUCUUUGUGUUGAUUUUUUAUAAUUUUUAUAAAGAUGUAUCUUUGUGUUGAUAUCGCUAUAUAAGAAAGAAAAAGAUUGAAUAUUGUGCGUUGUGUUUGAAUGGAGGGUUUAAGAAGAAAAGGGAGGAGAAGAUUUACUUUUUUUUUUUUUUUAAAUUAGUAACACUAAAAUGUUUUUCAAAAAUUGAAAUAACAUGUGAUUUUUCCUCUAUGGCAAUAAAUUGGGUUACCUGAUUUUAUUUCAAUUGCCCUUCACUUUUAAUUAAACUUCUUCAGAUUCUUUCUCAUGUAACCAAAAUAAAUAGAUAGUAAAUAAAUAAAUCAGCUAUCGAUUUCAUACUCAAUUUACAUAUGCUUUUGUUAAGUUCAGUGAAAAUAUUCAUGUAGUAGCUGAUAUCAAUUAUAAGUUUAAUUUUUUGUUAGGGAUUAACACGAGCUUGCAAAAAAACCAGUAAAGCCCUCGAUGAGGUUUUGGAGAUGAUAAUAACAGAGCACGAACAGACUACUAAUACUGACAAAACUCGUAAUGAAGACUUUGUAGACAUACUUCUUUCAAUUAUGCACCAAACCAUUGAUGUCGAGGGUGAACAAAAUCUCGUCAUUGAUCGAACUAACAUCAAGGCUAUUUUGCUCGACAUGAUAGCGGCAUCAGUUCAUACAUCUGCUACCACGAUUGAGUGGGCUUUAUCUGAACUUCUAAGGCAUUCAAGAGUGAUGAAAAUUCUUCAAGAUGAGAUACAAAAUGAAGUAGGAAAUAAAAGAAUGGUUGAAGAGAAGGAUCUGAAGAAGUUUAAUUACUUAGAUAUGGUUGUUGAUGAAACCUUAAGACUUUAUCCUGUUGGACCCUUAUUAAUCCCUCGUGAAUGUAGAGAGAGCAUAACAAUUGAUGGAUAUUUUAUAACGAAAAAGACUCGAGUUAUAGUAAAUGCAUGGGCUAUUGGGAGAGAUUGUAACGUUUGGUCAGAAAAUGCUGAUGAAUUUUACCCAGAGAGAUUUAUUGACAAGAAAAUGAAUUAUCAAGGACAUGAGUUUGAAUC